UUUUACAACAUAUUAUGGUCAUGACGACAAUCUCCUUUCAGAUGAACUGUGCCUCCAAACUAAGAAGGUUGCAUGAAAUCCCACGCAUAAAUGUAGUCUGAAAUAUUACUGCAACCGCUAUUUUCCAAAUUAACUAGUGGGGAAUUAUACGACAAUCAAUAUGCAUGUUCAUACUACUACUGUAUCGUCUUGACUCUAUCAAUAAUGUGAGGCCAAUUAUACGACAAUCCCCUUUUUAUAUCCGUGUAUACAUAGCUUUCUUUUUUCUAUAUUCGAUUUUACAUCCUGGUGAAUUGCAAUUUUUAUCUAUAGUUGCAUGUACUUCCUCCGUCCCAAAUUGCAGGUCGUUUUGACAUUUCUAGCUAGAUUCAUAUCUUUUAUUAAUAGCUUUUAUAAAUACAUGUACUUACAAAUUAGACCCGUGUUCAAGUGGAAGUGACUAGAGGAAUAAUGAAUCAUGUCGAAAGUCCCCCAAACACGAUUAAAAAUGUUCAGUCACCCUUCUGACGUACAGUCCAAAGUUCAAAGCACGGGAGCUGCAAACAAUUAUUUCACCACCGUUUUACACUUAAGCCAUAUAUAUCCUUCGUACAAAGACCAGGCGGAUUACACAUAAAGAGGUCCAACUAGCUAGCUUCUCAACAUGCGACUAGUAAACCUGAAGCAAGAUCGAAAUAAUAAUCAAGAAGCCAAGCAGUUUCAAUGUCUAUUUUGUUUUGUCUAAAUACAUGUAGAACGUGGUAAACUAAAAUUUAUACUAUAAUCUUUUAAGAAAAAACCGUUGACCUAAAAAGGAAGACAUCUAACAUUAUUUUAUAAAAAACAAACUAGUGAACAAAGAUAUUGCAAUAAGAAAGACAUUACCAAUACAUUAGCUGGUGUCUUGUACGUAUGAAGUCAUAGAGUGCAAAUAGUCGUACGCGAAGCAUUUCCCCGAUACAAAGUAUGUUUGAAAAUAAAAAAUUCCAGCCUACUAUCUUUCUCUCUUCCCAUAGUUAUCUCUAUGAAUCCUAAAAUUGUAACCUUUUAAUUAGAAUACUAACUUCAUGUAUAAGUAUUGAGAUUGAUGUCAAAUAUAAUAGAUAUCGAUAAGUUUUUAUUAACAAUAUAAGAUGUCGAUCACGUUUGGAUGCCACCCCCCGACACACACACACUUAGAAUUUCUAGUUCCACCACUGCUUUUGGGUGAUACCAUAUGAUCUUUCCUAGAAGGUUCUAGAAACAUAAUUUACCUGGGGUAUAUGCACUUCUCGGUGGGAGGACACUAGUACUGAAGUUUGGCGGCAUGCCCGAAUUUCAUUCUGCUCCAAAAAUUAUUCACCAGGGCAGUCACUGAAAAAAUAGGUUUAAGGACUAUUUCAUGGAAACACUUGCGGAGCAGCAGCAGUCCCGGCUAGUAUUGAUGAACCAGCCACCGGUGGGCCACCCACAUCAUAUGGUGAUGAUGACGCCUCCUUCAAAAAACAUGACGCCAAUGUGCAUGCCGGUAUUGGAUGAAGCGAAUACAACAGUUGGUCAGAGUAGUGUUGGCAUUACGAUAGCACAACCAUUUCCAUAGGUUCUAUAUCCAUUAAUACUCCAUGCUCAUUGCACAUUCUGAGUUGGAGAGACAAUAUAGAUUGCCCAGGGUGUUGCCAAUCCGGUUGGUGGUUUGUUUGAUGAAAAACCAAUCCCACCCCUGUAUGCAUGUGUACGAGAUAGAUAUCCCCACUACAGAGGGGAUCUAUUGCCUUGGACAUUGAGUCGGUAGUACCAUACUGUUGGAUAAACGAGAGAUACUACUGAUUGGUCUACAACCUUCGAUUCUUGAUGAUCCUGCCUCAGCUCAAAACUUCCUCAUGUAUGAAAUCCAGACUGGGACACGUUCUUGUUGAGCAUCCACUAGUGGAAUGGACUUUGGCACCAGAACAACUAGUUCAUGGGAGAAGCAUAUCUUGCCACAUCAGCAAUCCAUACCUCUCAAACUAAGCAAUCCCAUUGGCCGAACCUUCUCUUGCACCUCCCCUCUAUCCCGUCCACCCAUCCUCCUCAUUUAUACUAUCCCUGCCCAUCAUCCAUUCCUACUUUACCUUCUCUCUCCCCCAACCUUCUUCAACCCAAGUGGCUUCGGCUCGGUGUUGGUCUCAAACGAAUUUGAUACCCAACAGAUUUAAGUGUUGCUGAGGCUAGAUGUUGACAAGGGUUCCAAACCCAUAACUUGGUUGCCCGAGGUUAAGUCUGAUGCAUCGAAAUCGCUAGAGGUUAUCACGAGUUCCGAACCCAUAACUCGAUUGCUUGAGGUUAAGUAUGAUGCCUCGAAAUCGGAGCUCGAGGCUCCUAGGGCUUUAGCCGGGCUGAAAUUAAAAAAGGCUGGCAAGAAAACUGGAGUGAGAAUAGUUGAUGCUCUAGAGGAUGAUGACGAUGAAGUCGGUUUCUUGGAUGACAACUUGUCCCUGGUUUCACCUCUGCACGGUUUGCUCGAGGAUAAGGCUCACGAUGUUUCUGCUGAGAAGGAUUCGCAAUCCAAGAAUGUUGAAGAAACAUCGGAUGCUAUUGGUACUGUCCUUCCUAUUAUACCAGAUGCGAAGGAAAUUAUGGAGCGCGCGGUUGCUGCCCACUCAGAAAGGUAAUAUACAAGUCUGGCUGGUCUUAGUUUCGUGGAUGUUAGUGAGGCUUCUUCUAAAUUUUUGAUGGACUUGCAAAGCACAAUUGGCAAAGUUGGAGAGCCGUAUCAUGAACCCUCAUAUCUUUUGCAUGUAGAUCCUUUGCCCGACAGUCCUGAUCCACCUCAGGUUGUGCUAGACGACAACAAGGAUUUUGGUACAAAUAUCAAGGAGAAGUUGCUGGCUGUCCACAUUCCUGGAGCAAGUGAAGAUGAUGAUCCUUUCAAUCCUCCACUACUAUGGAGAUCGCAUGACUCACUUCGACCUGUAGGUGAAACGGUGAAACGGCGGGGACUGUUCUUGGUGGUAAGUCUGAGGGCAAUGUUUCCUCCGAGGCUCUUGAAGAAGGCAAGCUUGCCAAAGAAGAAGAGAAAAAUCCUCAAGUUCCAGAAGCUUUGAGAGGCUUCUGUUCAGAGCGAUACCCGAGGAAGUUUCUUUGAUCCUGAGGCAUUUUUUAUAAUGUCUUCUAUUUUUUUUUUGGUUUUUGAUGCCUUUGGUUGCUUAUAGAAUGCCCUUAUUUUGACAGAAUAUGAGAAGUCUUUGCGUUGCUAGGACCUUGAUCACUUGGCGAGGAUAACGACUACCCUCGGUCAUAAGGUAUUGCCUUUCCUAACUUACUGUUAAGAUUUUUGCUAUUUGGUAUUUGUAGGAUUUUUCUCAGUUUUACUUGUUUUUCAUUUUUAGGCUAUAAUUGCUAGCAAAGUGGCCAUUGAUAAGCUUCAAGAGAAGGAGAGGGCUACACUCAGCAGCAGCACUAGGGUUCUUGAGCUUGAGACCGAUGUUGCGAGGCUUAAAAAGGAGAACUCGGCUUUAGAUGAUCUCAAAGCCUCGCUUUCUGAGGAGAAUAUUGAGUUGAAAAAGAACAAGGAUCUUUUUGUGAAAACAUGCAGUGACCUCGUUCAGAAAGUGGAGACCUUUGAAAAGAAUUCUAAAGAUAACCUCGAAGUUUUGGAAAAACUGCGUAGUACCAUUGAGAAAGAUUCGACAACAAAUGCAGCUUUGAAGAAUCAAAAUGAGGCACUUGCCAAAGCUUGCGCUGAGAAAGAUAUUAUGAUUCAUACCUUGGGAAAAAACCUCGAGGAUCAAAAAGGUUUCAUCGAUGGUGCGGAGCAAGUGCUGAAGGCCCGUUUCUCACAUAUUCAUGAUGGGUAUAAGCUUGCACUGGCAGAGUUUGGGGCAGAACCCCUUCCUUUCUCUGCUGAUAAGGGAGCCAAGGAAAUGUUUGAUUGGAUGGAUCAAGAAUUUGAGUCCUUGCCCUUAGUUAUUGCGGGAGCCAGUGAUUAUGCGGCCUCCUUGUGUUGUGAGGGUAUGCUGAAGCUGCUCGAGGUGGAAAAUUGCUCAGAUUUCCUGAAAUUUGGUGCGCACGGUUACAAGUUUCCUUCUGCUUUAGAAUUCGAUGCACAGGAGACAUCAAAAAAUGUUAAGAUUGUGAAGAAGAAUUUCUUGAAGGAAUUUUGGAAGGCUUCUUGUCACGACUUUGCAAAGCUUGUUGCUCGUGGUCAUCUUUUGGAGGUUCGACUUUUCCUUUUGUCCAUUCUGCUUAAGACUGCUUUUCUUUAUCUUAUUGUGGUUGUUUGUGAUAGGCUAAAGAAUCUGAUGUGAAGGAAAAGAAGCAGAUUGGAGGCUCGGAGCAACAAGAGGUGUAGACUCUAGACUAGGUUUAAUUGGAAACUUAAUCUUUUGAUGCAUAGCUUAGGGUCGAGAACUAAAAUAGUUGUUGGUUGUAAUUUAACCUACGCAGGUCCUAGGUGAUGAGCCUGCACAGGACAUACUUCCUCUUCGAUUUCAACGUGGAAACAUUGUUGCCAGUGGUCAUGCUUGGCGUCUCUUUCAUACUUUUCAUCCCGACGCUAAUUUUCAUGUUUUCUGGUGCUUUUGCUGUGAAUACUUUUCCGUGCAAAGCUUUAUGCUGGGUCGCUAUUUUGAGUCCCGCGAUGGUUAUGCACUUGAUACGAUGGAAGAAAAAAUAUUUGAAGCUUCGAGGGUGAAGUCGGAUCCCCUUAGUCACAAUAUCAUGAGUUUGAUGUCGCCUAUGUGUGUGACGCUGCAGAGUUUUGAGGUUCAAAACCUGGUCAUGUAAUCAAAUUGUCAUUCUGACUUGUAACGAAACUCAUUGGAAAAACAUCACCCCCCGUUUUCUUCCUUUUUGCGGAGAUUUUUGUUGCAAGAUGUUAUUGCGAGAAAUAUAUUGUGUUAUUUUUUAAAGGGUUUUUUGUCUAAGUGUCAUAACCCCAAACGACAAGGAAUAUUUGAUUUUAGUGAGAAACAUCACCCCCCCCCUUCUGUUCCUUUUGGCAAGAGUUAUGUUGUUUGCAGUAUUUGGUCGAUGACAGAGGUAUCCUCGAAGCUUUCUAUCUUUCACAUUUUCCGUGCAGUAGUUAUUGAUUUUGGAAAAGAGGUUCAGAGGUGUUUAACUUUCAUGUGGGACUUUUACAUGCUAGUUUUCUUGUAAUAAGUCAGCAAAAACUUGCUCCCAGUUUUGCGGACUUAGAAAGUUAAACAACAAGUCAGGUCGAAUUCACAACUCUUGGUUGCUUCAACCAUAGAGUUGUAAAUCCUACGAGGUUAGAUAGAAUUUUAGACAAGUAUGGUAAUGGCAAAAGUGAGGCUUUGCUUGCGCAGAAAUGCAAGAUUUGGGGUAUUCUUGGAAGCAAAGUUGGUGCUACAACUUCUUGUUACUUAUGUCCAACGCUUGCGCAGAAACGCAAGUUUUUUCUCACACAGAAAUGUGAGGUUUUGCUUGCACAGAAACGCAAGGUUCAAGUUAUUUGAAAAGUAAAGUUGAUGCUACAACUUGAUGUUGCUUUCGCCCAACACUUGCGCAGAAAUGCAAGUUUUUUUCUCGCACAAAAAUGUGAGAUUUCACCGCAACUUGUAGUUGCUUUGGCCUCAGCUUGCACAGAAAUGCAAUGUAGUAGCCCUUUUGAGGCUUAGUAAACAUGAGAUUCAGGGGAAUUGUACUACAUUAAAAUGUAAAGGUUUACAUGGAUCCGCCUUGUUAAAAACCUUGCCUCCAUUGUGGAUCCCCCUAGAUAGGAAAAGAGUACAUUCCAUUUGCAGCAAAGUAAAUGCAGGAAAGUAAAUUUUCUACCCUCGACGUUGUUUAUAGACUUACAAGCUUAGGGGUUUUACUAUUUUGGCGACUAUGGGUAGUAUUUGCACAAGUUAUCCACAUUCCAAGAAUGUGGUAACUCUGCUCCUAGCUAAUCUGCAAGGUAAAAGGAUCCUGGCCUAUUGCUUCGAGUGACAACGUAAGGCCUUUCCCAAGUUUCUUGUAACUUCCCGAGGUUCUCCAUGUUCUUUCUCUUUUUGAUUACUAGGUCUCCUAUCUUGAUCUCUUUCUUCACUAUUUUUGUGUCCCUCCACUUUUUGGUUUCUUGUUGAUACUUGUCGAGGUUUUCAAUUGCCUGUAAUAUGUCGAGCUCAAUCAUGUCUUUGUUGAUUUUUCGUUCUCUAAGGAAGCCUCGAUUUUGAGUACUCAUAAGCUUUCAUUCUUUAUUUCCUCUGGAGUCAUAGCCUCGAAGCCGUAUAAUAGGCGAAAGGGUGUGAAACCCAUUGUUCUUGAUGCAAUAGUGUUGUAGGACCACAUGACUUUUGGGAGUUCAUCAAUCCACUUCCCUUUUUUCUAGUCGUACAAACAUUUUUUGAUACUCGAGAACAUAUUUUGAAAUCAUUACAAUCGAACUAUUUUCUUUUGUCCACUGUUAGUUCCCUAGGAACCCAAAACCUGCAGAUGAUGUCCUGCCAAAAGAUUUUUUGCACCAAGCUUGAGGUUAUGUUUGCCAGUGGCUUAGCCUCGAUCCAUUUGGUAAAGUAGUCAAGCGCUACUACUGCAAACUUGCAGUUGCCUUGUGCAGUGGGUAAUGGCCCUAUUAAGUCCAUUCCCCAUCUUUGUAAUGGCCAGGUUGGUGGUAUGAGUUGUCUGGCAGUGAGGGUGUUUUUUGCUAGUUAGUUGUCUUUUGACAAGCCUCGCAAGUUCUAACUAAGCUUCGGGCAUCUAGGAUUGUUGUUGGCUAGAAAAAACCCUGUCUCACGGCUAUGCCUACUAGGGCUCUGGUUCCGAUAUGAGAACCGCAAAACCCACUGUGGAUUUCUGUUAACAAUUCUUUCCCACUCUCCAUAGUUAUACAGCGUAGCCAAGGAGCUGAGAUCCCAGAUUUGUACAGCUCACCGUCGACCAUGGCGUAGCCCCUAGCCCUUUGCUUCAUUCUGUUUAGUUCAGCCUCGUCGUGAGUCUCAUAGUGUCCUCUGAGGUAGGACAUGGUUGGAGCCCUCCAAUGAAUCUGAUGAUUGCAUUUACGACUCUCGGAGUUAGCUCUCUGGUUGAUGGGGAGUGUAUGACCUCAUAGAAUAGAUCAGGUGGCAUGGUUUAAUUUUCCGUAGUUGCUUUUGCCAAUUUGUCUACAUCAUCGUUUUCUGCCCUUGGGGUGUGCUGAACGGUGAACCCUUUGAAAUAUUUUUCCAUGGCUCUUACUGUGGCUAAGUACUUCACAAGCUCUACCUCUCUGGCCUUGCUUUCUUUUUUGAUGUGCUCUUGAAUCACUUAGGAAUCUUAUUUUACUAUGAAUACUUGCUGAUCCAAUGCCCUCAUUCUCCUUAGCCCCAGAAGCAGUGCUUCAUAUUCUAUUCUUUUGUACGAGGACCUUGCCUUGCCCUUGAAAUCAAGACUCGCAGCAUAUCUAAUUUUACACCCUAGGGUGACAUGAUAUUUGCUGACACUCCUACCACCUUGUCACACCAAGCCCCGUCGCAAUGUAUGACUAGUGGAACCUCAAUCUCAUCAGUUUCAUUUUUGCAUGGUGAUGUCCAGUCCACUAUGAAAUCGGCUAGGACUUGUGAUUUGAUUGCACUUCUUCUCUCGAAGUCCACCAGGUAUUCGGACAAUUCUGAUGCCCAUUUUGUGAUUCUCCCCGAGGCUUCUCUGUUUGUGAGAAGAUCAUGAAGCGACUGGUUGGUGACCACCACUAUCCUGUGUCCCUCAAAGAAAUGUCUUAACUUGCGCACUGCCAUGAUUACAGCAUAAGCGAUUUUUUCUAGCUCGGAGUAGAACAGUUUUGACCCCGAUAAUGCUUCUAAGGUGAAGUAUACUGGAGUUUGUCUUGGUUUGCUCUUGAUUUCCUUUUCUUGCACUAAGGUAGCACUGACUGCAGAGCUCAAGGCUGACAAGUACAACAACAAGGGAGAUUUUGGAUCGGGUGGGCAUAGUUUCGUCAUGCUUGUCAAGUAAUCUCUUAGUUCUGCAAAAGCUUUGCUUUGCUGCUCUCCCCAUUCAAACUUUUUGGAGUUUCACAGUACUUGGAAGAAAGGUAGACUUCUUUCGGCUACUCUCUGGAUGAAUCUAUUAAGGGCUUCUAUUCUUCCUGUCAGCUUUUGCACAUCUUUCACUAAAACAGACUCUUUCAUCUUAACUAGAGCUUGGAUUUUGUCUGGAUUAGUCUCGAUGCCCUUGGUUGAGACCAAGCAUCCUAGCACCUUGCCUCUCUGAAUUCCGAAUAUGCAUUUUUCUGCAUUUAGCUUCAAGUUUGUUGUCCUCAAGUUCGCGAAAGUUUUUGCGAGGUCAUGAAUGUGAUCUUUUCGUUUGACACUUUUCACCACGAUAUCAUCCACAUAGGCUAGGAUGUUCCUUCGAAGCUGUGUGCUUAGGACUAUUGCUAUCAUUAUUGAGAAAGUUGACCCCGCAUUCUUGAGCCCCUCAGGCAUUCUGACGAAACAGUAGGUCCCGAAUGGAGUGAUGAAGCUCGUCUUCUCCCCAUCUUCUUUUUUCAUUCGUACUUGAUGAUAACCUAAAAACAUAUCUAGUAGUGACAACAUUUUGCUGUUUGCAGUGCCAUCUACCACCUUGUCAACCCUUUCUAAUGGAAAGUCAUCUUUUGGGCAUGCCUUGUUAAGGUCGGUGAAAUCUAUGCACAUUCUCCAUUUGCCAUUUUCUUCUUGACUGAACUGUGUUUCCCAACCAUUCAGGAUACAUAAAUGCGCGUAUUAUGUUGGCAUCAGCUAGCCUUUGGUCUCACACCUUUUUUUAUUUCUAACUUGUGCUCUAUUAUAUCUUUGUCUACUCGUUGCAGGUCACAUGCAGACCAUGUGAAGACAUCCUUGUUCUUGUUCAGGAACUCGAUCAGUUGCUUUUCUUCGUCGGGCUUGAGUUCAGCACUGAUGAUUACAGCUCUAUCGAGGACAUGUUUGUCUAGUAGUACUCUUUUUGUUUUGCCAUCUGCACUCAUUUUUACUUUUUCUUUAUCUCUUUUUGGCUCGACAUAUGGUUUUUUCUUCUCCGAGGGUUCAACCACGCUUGAACUUGCUAAGUGGUGUACAUUUUUCUGCCCUAGGGUUGCACCUUUUUCAACAUCAAUGGCUGUUUGCUGGUCACCAUAUAUUGUGAUAACUCCUUUCAGAGCUGGGAUCUUCAUACACAAGAACAACAGCCUUAUUGCAGCAUCGAACUUGUUGAUGAAUCCCCUUCCAAAGAUAGCAAAGUAUGGAUAGUACAUUUCCACAAUGUUGAAUGUUAUGUAUUCCGUUCUGGCAUUGUCUAGGUUUCCAAAUGAUACUGGUAAUGUGAUUUUCCCCAAGGCUCACUCUAGCUUUCCACCAAAACCAAGUCAUGGUCUUUCUACUGGUUGUAGUAGGUGAGGAUCAAUUUUCAUUUCUCUUAAUGUGUUUGCAAAAAUGAUAUCUGCUGAGCUUCCAUUGUCAACUAGUGCUUUCCCGAUUGUCCAUCCUACAACAAUAGCCUCAAUUACCAUCGCAUCAUUAUGCGAGGCUGUUUUGAGUUUGAAGUCUUCUUUAGUGAUGGAGAUUGGCAUGUGUGCCCAUUCUGGCCUGGCUGGUGGUUCAUCACGGAUGACCGAAUGGACUUGUUUGAAGUAAUUUUGCCUUUGCUUCUGUUUCUCAAAUUCUAGCGAAGAUCCACUUGCUAUUGGGAUGAUCAUGUCGUAGGUGGGAAAAACAUUGGACUUGGUGUUUUGGGCAUUUUCGAACUCUUGCGAGGAGCCCCCUGACAUUGGCAUGAUCAUGUCGUAGAUGGGUAGGGCUUUGGGUUUGCUAUUUUGGCCAUUCUUCGGUUCAACCUUAGGUAUUUGAUUUGGCAAGUUUGGCAGAAGUAGUGGUAUUUCUUGCAGAGGCUGAGGUGGUGCGAAACUUUCAGUUUACAUGGCUAGCUGACUUUGAGAUUGAAAUUGUGGCGAUGGUUGCCACAUCAUGGUGGGUUGGUAAUUGAAAGAAGGGUUGGUAAAUGAACUUGCGAGGGUAGAUGUAUGAAUGGUGUUGGGGUUUAUUUGUGGCUAAACUUGGCAGUAUGGCUAUUGUGGCAAGAAAGAAGUGUGGUGAAUGGUUUUUGGCAUUGCUGCUGCAGCUACGGCUGCUCUUUUUUCCUCUGCUAUCCUUUCGAAGGUCUUUUUUGUUUCUGGAUAGAAAUCGGUUGCGUGAUCUAGUUAUUUGCCAUGAAAUGUGCAAUAGGACAUUCGAGGCUGGUUGUUUUGAUUGUGUGGCCUAGGAGCUCCUCUGCCUUGGCCCCUUCCCCUGCCUGAGUGGCCUCCUCUCUACCCAUUGCCAUGAUUUAUGUGUUGUUGUGGUGGUUGCCCAUUCCAAUUUUGGCUUUGUUGUUGUGAGGGUUGAGCACCCUCGAUUGGUAGUACAUUUUGGCUUUGUUGUUGUUGAUGUUGUGUGGAAUUGCAUUUUAGGGCUGGCCAAUUCUGAUCUUUCUGGGUUUGCCUUUGGCGAUUCCUCUCCAUUACUCUUUUCCUGUGGUCCUUGUCUGACCUGCAGUAUUUUCCAACUCGGCGAACAAAGAUUCCAUAGUUUUGGGUUUUUCUCUUGUUAGGUGCGAGGCUGUCGAGCCUGGUGUUAGCCCUUUGAUGCAAGUUGCUAUGGCUGCACUUUCAUCUACAUCUAGGGUUUGUGACUUCAAUUGUACAAAUCUUUUGACAUAAUUGGCUAGAGGUGCUUUAUCUCUCUAGACGCAAUGAAACAAGUCACCCGAGUCUGUUGUUGCACGAUGGAAGCCUUGGAAGUCUUGUAUCACCUUUGUUUUGAGAUCGAUCCAGCUAUAUACUAACUACAUUGUGAGUAAUGAGUACCAUUUCAUCGCGGCACCCUCGCAGGCUAUGAUUAGGGACUUGGCUAAGACUACGUCGUCUCCUCCAGCUGAUGCUACUGCAGCCUCGUAGCUCAUGAGGAUUUGAUGAGGGUCAUUUUGCCCAUUGAACUUUGGCAGUGAGACUGUCUUGUAGUUUGGAGGCCAUAGAGCUGUUUGUAGGCCUAUAGAUAAUGGAGAGCUUUGGUCGAUUGCUAUGUAGGGACUUGUCAUCACUGGCACGUUGUGUCUAGUGAGGUUUGGAUCCAUUUGCGGGAUAUUUUCUGUGUUCAUGACAUGUUACUGUCUCAAAGGUGGUGGUUGGGGUUGUGGUGGCGUAUUUCGUCAAUAUUGCAACUCAUCCAACUCUUCUUGCAAUUCUGCUAGCUGUUGUUUUGCUUGAUUUAGUUUUGCUAUUUUUCGAACUGUUAGACGUUGGGCUUCUAGUUCUUGAGCAAACUUCUCUUUUUCUUGUUUUAGAGCUUCGAGUUUCCUUAGCACCAAGGCCUACUCCUUUUCUGUUGCACCGACUUGAUUGUUUCUUGUGCUUGACUAGGGUUGUGCUAGAUUUGCUACUUCUGGCUCCACUCUUUUUUUCACUUCUUGUUCUUAAGUUAGCCUCGACUCUCUUUAACUUCUCUACAGUAUCUAUGUCAUUUUGAUCGACAGGGACAAGUCUUCUCUCUUGAGCCACAAGAUUCUCUCUUUCACCCUCGGCGGCUCCCUGUGGUGCGGUCUUUUUUUUCUUCGUUUGUCGCAUCAUGGGUUGUUUUACAGCUAAAACCACGGUGGGUGCCCUAUUGGUCUCAAACAAAUUUGAUACCGAAUAAAUUUAGGAUUACAAAAAGAACAAUGCACACUUCUCAAUUGGAGAAACUGAUCUCCCUUUACAAUGGGGUAGGGCUCCCUUUUAUUGUGACUCAUAGCCUACUUUGUAUUCCGUAAGUACCCUUGUUCAACCACUAUAUUCUUAGGAUAUGCCGUACAUAAAGGUCAUUGGGAAACAUGUGUAUAAAUUGAAUUUCUCCAUGUGUUCACGUUUCUCACGUCUUCCACCCAUUAACCUCGAGACUUCAAUUGCAUCCUAAGCCAGUCGUCUAGCCUUGAGGCUUCAUUCGCAUCCUGAGCUGGGCAUGUAGCCUUGAGGCUUCAGCUUCUCAGAGUCCUGAUGAAAGGUCUUAACCUUGAGCAGUUCCUCCUCAAGCAACAUUCCUGAGUAAAGAGUAAAAAGAUGAAAGCUCGGUGUCUGGAACCAACUCCAAACACUCGAGGGUUAAUCCAAUGGAAGUUAGUCAUUAUUGUUGUCAAUCGCUACCCUCGAGUCCUUCCAGGGGUAGAUGCAAUGUGAGGAUACGAGAUUUACGUCGAGGUGCCUCGCACAGAACAUGCGAGGUUAAAGGGGCUCCGCUUUCCUUGCUGCUGGCGCGCAACUUGCAAGGUUAGGCUUGGAAUCUGCUACCAACGUUCGAGGGUUGCUGACUUUUUAGCGAUCCCCAACACUCACCCUUCUCCUUUAUACUUAUAUAUCCCUACCCAUCCUCCUCCUUUAUAAUAUCUCUGCGUGCGUGCAGCUUGCAUAGGGAGGCACGAGCCUCCUCUUUAUACUAUCCCUGCACUCCUCCAUAUAUUCUCACUGUACCUUCUCUCUCCCACACGUGGUUGUAACUCGGCCUUCGACGCUAGGUCCCUCCUCGGCAGCGUUUGGCCUGUGCAUGCAGUGUGCGUGGGCCGACAAUGCUAGAGGACAUUGUGGCCCAGCUUUUUUUAUUUUUUAAUCAGUUUUCAGUGCAGGGUGACGAGGUAUCCCGCCUCUGCAAAUGUAUUUACUAUGCAGGACUGAGUCCUGCCCCUACAGAUGCCUUAUAAAUGCAAUUUUACCUGGUGGUAAAAACGUUUUUUUAUGUAGUGGUGGCGCUGUCGAGUCUCCACAAAUGCAAUGAACAUGCUGCGCCUCCCCUCGAUCCGACAGAUAUAUUGGUGUUGUUACAAAUCCUAUUUUUGUGACCAAAAGUUGCAAACGGUCAAGCACAUUUUAGUUAUUUUAUUUUAGUUUCUUAGUGUCAUUUUUUUGUUGUUAGGCAUCUGAGUGGCACAUCGUAAGCUUGUCCUGGUUCCUCAGCUCAUAAGCAAUUGAUGCCUGACAGUGACUGUCGUUGUUUGACCUGUCUCCACUGCUCGCUUCUGAAUUACUGGGCCAUGUCCAAUGGCAGUGUUGCAGCUGAUGAGGUGAGGCAGCAAUCUUUUUGAGGGCCUGUAUGUUUAUGGAGCAUUCUGUGCCACCGGUGGUCAGCCAUCUGAGCCACUGCUGCACAUCAUAACCACGAGGGCAGGCCCAGUGGACGCUCAGGCGCGUGCAUUAUGUCCGACUAGCUAUGGACAAAGGUCAAGUGAAUAUAUUAUUUUAUUUUUAACAUUACAAAUAUUAGACAUUUCAUGUUUUUUGUGCUACCAAAAAGUUUUCAAGCAAGGGCACACAGCACACAGCACACAGCGCACCUGUAAUCCCUAAUUUCACUUUCCCUCUCACAUCUCUCCCUUUUCAAUCUCUGUGUGUUAAUUUUUAUCUGAAAAACGUGAGAUUGAACUAACUGUACAUCUCUAGACGUGUGAAUUUAAGAUUUUAGAAUAUUUCAAAAAAUAUAUAAAAAUAGAUCUUCAAUUAUGUAUAAAAAUAUUAACAAUAUAGUUUCAACAACCAUUCAUAAAUUAAAUAUUAAUAACAUGAAAUCGAUAUGCAUGGUGUCGGGUCCCUGGUGUGCUAUCGCUGUGUGAGGCGGAGAGAGACUGAGAAAGGAUGGAGAAAAUAGAGGACGGGAUACAUGGUGAAAGCGACAUGUGAUUUUUUGCCUAUAGCCCCUGCAUGCUACUCUUACCGUCCAAUGAAAAAGUGCAAUUUUUUAUUAGUGGUGGUGUGAAAAGACACCCAUAACCACAUUUAUUGACAUUGACUGACCCAUAACCACAAUUAUUGACCAUGCAGUAAGUUUUAACAUGCAAAUCAAAUAACCACAUAAUUAGGCAGGUAGUUACAUCUAAUUCUUAUGAUUGCAUUUAAUGCGAUUUUUUUCAAACGCUAGAAUGACACUUUUUUCAUAGGAUGGAGUAUAUAUGUGCGCCUCAUGCCAUCACGUGGCGUGUGCCGAUUAGACUAGGUGCCGGGGCCGUUUUGGGCAAGAACAGGCGUGAAAGCCCUGGUUGCGUGGAUAUAAUAAUGAGAUGAAUAACUAAAAUUAAAUUGGCGGUGACAUACAAAUUUUUUUAACAGAAACGUUGCUCGCUUUAGUAAUAGGAAGGAAAAGAGGUGAGGUGCCUUGCUUCCUCAGCUUCCACAUCUUAUCUAUGUAAAAACAUUCAAAACACUAGUAGAGAACUCAGUAUUAGUCCCGGUUGGUAGGGCGCAAUUCUCUCGAAAAUCCAUCGGGGAUAAACUAACCGAGACAAAGGGGGGCGGGUCUUUAGUCCUGGAUCCUUCAACUGGGAGUAAAGCCACCCUUUAGUCCCGGGGGCCUGCCACGCAAGGCACAGGACAAAAGUCUCGGUUGAGUUUUCCAACCGGGACUAAAGUCCUGCAGGCCCGCGCCAUGCAGGCGCCUGCAUGGUGCCUGUAGUUUCAUGCAUCACGUACGUACCCCGGCCCUUUUGUUAACCUUUAGUAGUUGAGACUUUUUUUAUAAUGAAAUCAAACUAGUAUUUAAACGAAUGAAAUUAGUAAUUAUACAAUUACUAUAUAUACAAUUCUUUGCAUAUUAUACAAAUCAAUCUUAGCGUAUUAUAUAUACAAAUCAAACUAUAUAUCUACAAUCUUCCCGUCGAGGUGUUGCUCAGAGCGUCUAAAUUUCGUCCAUCAUAAUAAAAUUCUCCUUGUGGAUUUACCACCUCGUCCAAUAGGAAUCCAAUGAGACCUUCACAUAUUGCCGCUACUCUUUCCUUCUUCAAGAGUCCUUGUUGAAUAUUUAAGAUCUAUAAUUUGAAAAUAUGUGAAUGUUACACGAACAAUUAAAUAUAAGGAGCUAGAAAAUAAUUAACUAUUAAUAGUUUUAUUUUACGUACUUUAAAGUUGUGCGGCGUCAUCUUUAGUCCCUUGGGUCCCACAAAACUGUGCAUGUGCUCAUAGAUGUAGUAGAAACAUAGAUUAUUCCCAGGUUCCUGUCUUAAGCACUUCAGUAGGGAAAAAAAUAAGUUAUGAAAUAUUCGUGUUAUACAAUGUAUAAAAUGUGCAGACUUCAUACGUACCGGGAAGUCUAUGUUCCAUGUAAUUUUUUCUUUGAAUGAAUCUUUGUGUGUCCUCAUGAAUUGUCUCCAUGCGCUGCGGAUUAAAAUAAUGAAUGUGUUGGCGCUAAAAACCAGCCGACGGUCUUCAGCGUGGGACACACGACCAGAGAGAAUCUGCUUAACUCCUGUUCGGGUUAUCGCCCUGGUGCGGUUCACGUGGUGUGCUAGUCAAUCUGACCUGUUGAUUAACAAGGAAAUAAAGAUAUUAAAUUCCAGGGGCUUUUAAAGCGAGUCGGCGAAUCGGCCGAUUCACUACAGAGAUAAUCGGCUUAGUAGAACAGCCGAUACCAUGUAGCGAUUGCGAAGUAAAACCACUAGAGCAGACUAAACAACGCUACAAAUGCAACACUUGAAAUAAAUCUAAUAAGCUAUAUGGCGAUAAAUAAGAAUAACAAUAAUGAAGCCAACAGUUCGAAUCUCAAGCUGGAUAACUAGUGAUAAAAACUAGAGCAAUAUAUAGAACCUAUAAUUCUAGUUAAUAUCGAUAACUGGUGAAUAAAUCUAAACGAAACAAUAGCGAUACGCCCGAAGUUAAAGCUUAGAUAUUACUCGAUAAGCGGAACUUACAGAAUCGGCCGGAGAUCGUGUCGAUGCAGCCCUGCCAACCCGUAUGAACUCGUGAAAGAAAAGAUGUAUUGGCAAAGUCACCGACUUGAAAGUAAAGUACGAUGAAAAGGUAGAUUUGUUGUAUUGAUUGAUGUGUCUUUACAAAUCUCUGAAGAUGGCUAUUUAUAGCCUACUACAACUAAUUUCCUAACCGACUAGGAUCUAUCUCUAAUUUUAAAUGAAAAUGAAUAUUUACAAACACAACUCGUACCGGAGUUGGUUACCAUACUCCCACGGGCUAAUCUUUCUCUAUCUUCUUUUUCUGGCCCACCUUAAGCCCAUAUUGGCCCAAUCGCUCCAGCCUUCCAAUCGGCCGAUCCCCACCAACUCCGUCCGCCAAUUGCUCGAAACACUGUAGCGCCAAUCGGCCGAAUCCCAACUGUAGCGCCAAUCGGCCGAUUCCCAAUCGUAACCUUUUAAUCUGCCGCAUCGGCCGAUCCUUUCCUCUCUUGACAUCGAUCCAAAAUGUGUCAAAAUCUGGUGUCAACACAUGCCCCCCAGUUUCGGAGUAAAACAUAACUUUUUACUUCAAAAUUCUUCUUUAACUUCCUCUCCAAAACAAACGCGGCAAAAAUCCCCUUCUGUUUCGCGGUCUUCUACCUGAUGAUUGCAAUCUCUUCGAACUGGGCACCUAAGACAACCGUUGUCCCGAAAUUCGUGUAGAGUGCGUGGUAAAAAUCCUGCCUUUACCCCUUCUCUCGGACUAUCUUUAAAUACCGGCGUUCUCUGCCACUUCUUCUCCACGAGCUCAGUAACUUUCUCUCCGGCGAAUCACUUUCUAUCUUCUCCUAGCGCCCCUUUCAUUUCCAGUCGCAUUCUCCAGCGAUCAUUCUUUCGUCUACAUCCCUCUUCAUUUUUCCUCAAUGGCGGCGCCAUCGGCAACUCCACCUGCAACGGAGGCUCCACCGGCAACUCCAUCAGCGAUGACAGUUCCAUCGGCGAUCGCACCAGCAACGAUAAGCUUCAUUCCAGAGGUAAACAUCUGAAACUUUUCCUUUUUACUUUUUACCGCCCAUGUUUGUUUUAGAUCUAUUCUUAGUUCUUUCUCUUUUUGCCUUCCUUAGGUAGUCAAACAACAAAUCACCAUCUGCCUUUCCGACGCACCUGGUUUGAUCUGCUUAGGUCCUAUGGGGAACCCAGACCCGACUGAUCUGAUCAAUUUAGAAACCCAUAGAAUCCCUUUUAAGCAAUCACCUAUGGAUUUGAGACAGUGGUCAGGCACUUCUAGAUCUUGGCCGAAUGAAACACCCGGCUGGAAAGAAUGGUAUCAAAGAAUGGCCAACUCCAAGAGAGUUCAAUGGGGUGAAUUAAAAAUAGGCCAGUGCAUCAAUCUAUCUUUGUCCCAGAUGGAGAAGAAUGAACCCUUAGUGAUAGCAGCUUCUUACUUUUGGUCUGACGCGCUCAAUGCAUUUCUCUUUGGGCACGGACCCAUGACCCCAACUCUGGCCGAUGUUCUGAUGCUAACCGGCCUCGAUAUUUCCUCCCCCGACACAUCCUUUAAUAAUCUGAUCAAGCCGACCCAUCGGCUUUUAUGCGGCAGAGCAGUCGGCCCUUCCUCCAACACACAAGCUCUGCCCGAAGCCCUGGCAAGGGGAUCCACCAUCCCUCUAGGGAAACACUUGUUAGGAUCGGCCUAUCAUAUGAUGCACCAUAUCGGUGUCAAACUGUCAAAGGGAGAGCCGAUUGGUAAUCCUGGUGGUCCCUGGUGCUUCAUCACCCUCUGGCUCAACUUGUACAUGAGCAAGGUCUUCCAGCAGCAGAUACAAACCAAGACAUUCCCCAACAUUGAGUCAGAGGAAAACCCCACAGUACGACGAUGGUGCACCUCUUUCGGCGAAGCGGCAUCGGCUUUCCCGGGUUGCCAGUUCACCCCCACCCAAACAGCCAAAUAUUUCAUAUGCUUCUACAACGGCUUUAGUGAAGAGACUACAAGUUGGUACCCAUACCAGAGAAUGGAGCCUAUUUUUGAGCUGCCCUUCUGCUAUGACUCGACGUCCAACUCCUUUGACAAUGACCUCACAGACGCCUUGAUUAAACUAGGGAUCUUACCAGCGAACUUCUUUUCUGGGAAGGACUCCCCAACUUAUUAAUUUUAUAACCCGUCAGUUGCAGCACGGUAGUUUGGGCUUGGUCAGUUGCCGAUUCGGGUUUACUUUGCCGGCAGAGCAAAAUUUUGAGAUGCACUUACUAAGGGCCUCCACUAUAAUCGGCUGUGCGAUUUACUACCUGAUUCCAGUACCACUAAUCUGAACAAUUCAAAUUAUGGUGGGCAGAAUGGAAGCCGCAUCUCUUUUGUGUAUCCCCUGCAACAUAUUACAAUGAUCUGGAUCCUGACAACAUCGACCCAAACACAGCGGUACUGCUCUCUUCUUCACCGAUUUCAAUGUCAUUCCCUUUUAUGCUACAAAUUUAUCACUAACUUUUAUCUCCUUUCUUUAGUCUGGAAGUCGACUUCCCCCCAACGUGCAGCCGAAGUGGCAGACCAAUAGAAAACUGUUAUCCAUAUACAAUAUUUCCACUUAUCGGCUAUCAUGCCCCAACCAUUGGAGACAUCACCACUGGCCGAUCGAAACAGACACUGAAGAUAACCUCUUCAAAGAAAACGAGCCGCUGGGUGCGUGCCCGCAUAGAAUCGGCCGAUCCAUCGGUGGUGGCAUCGUCUGAAUCCUUGGUUGCACCGACCCCGUCGAUGGUCGAAGAAGUCGAUCCCCAGGCCGCUACAGAAGCUGGAGCAGCUGCUGCAUCAUUGUUGGUAGAAGCUAUUCAGGUAACUCCGUACACCUUGCAUUUUUCUAAGUAUCUUGUCAGUAUUAAUUUCUUCCUUCUGUUAGGCUAUGCUAAUCGCCCCAGUACAAUCUCCGCAGAAAUCGGCCACAUUCCAGGCAGAGGCCGGGACGCCAGCAAUCUCCCCUACUUAGGUAGAGAAAAUCUGUUCAAAUCAAAUUUCUCAAUCCUUAAUCAAAGAUUUAACCGACUUCUGAUGCAGGCUACCCUGGAUACAUCAAUCGUAUCCUUUCAACAGCCAACGGCCGGACGACUCACAAAGGUAUAGUAAUCAUUAUUUGUCAUCAGUCUUAAUCACUUGCCUCAUACUUAUAGUGAUCUGCCUGUUGAUCCUUUCCCGGAAGCCGGCCUGAGCACGGCAUCGAUAAUCGUCGAAUCCUCUUCCUCUGAUGAACCAGUCGCGCCAGUUCCCGAGAUGAGGGUAGCACUCCCACCGGCGCAAGCAGAAGAGAUUCGUUUUAAAGAGGUAAGAAACUUGACACCCAAAUCGGCCGAUUUCCUAUUACCGUCGGCUAAUCCAUAUUUUUAUUAUUUAUUCUUUCUCAGGAGCAAGAUACUCCCAACAAUAGUCUCUUUUCUUUUGCGGUUGCACUUUAUGAUGAUGAAGAGGUUGCCUCACGCCAAGUUGCACUGAGCUCGAUCCCUGAUGAUGUCCGUGCCAAACUUGAGAGCAUACGGACCCUCCUCCAAGACGACAUCGGCCGACUAGUGGAAGAUGCCUCGCCGAUUCGGCAGCUUCUCAGUGAAAUCAGAGGCCGAGUUCCAGAAGAGGCAGAAGAGGCUCUAGCACCCGCCGCAUACAUUGAGUCAAUGCGGAUUCCAGUGUUCAGGGCCUUGCGCCACAUGGCCGAUCGCGCCAAAUUAGCGAAAGCCCGCGAGGAGGAAGAUUCCUACAAACAUCGAGCGCAAGAGGUACAUCAACGAAUCAGCUUCCUUGAAAGCUCUUGCCCAGAUAUUGUUGGCGCCAUAGAUCGCCUUAAACGGCGAAGGGCAGAGCUUGCCAAGGAGAUGGAACAGGUGACCAAGGCCAUAGCCGCCGAAGAGAAGAGACUCCAAGACCUCCCAUCGGUCAUCGUCAAGCUGAAGGAGGAGAGGCAGAACCUGGCCCACGAAGCAAUCAAACUUCACCGUCAUAUGCCAGAAGUUCCUGGAUUGGCUGAUGAUGACCAGAGGACUUUAGACUCGGCCGAUCAGGUUAGGCAGCGAGCAAUUGUAGCCAUUAAUGCCCUCCUUGGGUGAACUGUAAAAACACUGAAUGCUCUGUGUAAACAUUUAAUGUUCUUUUGCCGUUGACGUGCGGAUUCAAAGUUAGACCAUCCUCUAUGGCAGCUUCUUCAUUAAAUUACCUUUUACUCAGAUGGGACGCGUCUUACCAACCCUUCAUCUUUUCUUUCUAUAAGUAUGAGACUUUCGUAUUGCAUUCCAAAGGCAUUCACACCUCGCCCAUCCUCUUGACUCCCACACUCUUAGACUAAGCACCGAGAUGUCUUCUCCUUCUUCUUCCUUCUCUGUCGACCAGGUGCGAAAUCCCCCUCUGUUCCCUCGCCUGACGUUUAAAUCAAUCUGACCACAAGUAGUUUUUGUUUUGCUAUUUUUCAGCCGAGAUGCCUUAGUCCUAGCCUGGAACGAGCCAUCGAGGUUAUGCACUCGGACGAACUGCUGACGCAGGCGGACAAAGAUCUGAUCAAGACUCAUCACGAAAAACUCAAGGAUCAUAUCCCUCCUCAUGUCCAGAAGAUCAUGGACCAUAUGGGCCCCAACUGCUCCGGGCGGCUGCUGACUGAAAGGAGUCAUCCGCUUCCUCGUUAGGUCACCUUUGAGGAUACCAUGGCAGGGACAUCCCGGCCAUUGGUCAACAGAAGCCACCAACCUCCUCGUCAAGUUGAGGUUGAAGCCGCCAUAGAGGAUCUGAAGGAAAAGAGCAUCCGCCUCUUAAUAGAACUAGGCAGGAUUGAGAGGGAGAUUAAGCAAAAAUGUGGUCAAUGAAUGUAUUGGUACUUUUUAAUCCAAGGGUGACUUGUACCGUGUCGGCCAUGUAUCCUAUUGCUUGUACCGAAUAAUAAAUCGGCCAGACUAAUCAAAUGUUUUGUCCUCAAGGCGAUGUUAUCAUUGCAUCGGCUAUAUAAACACAAGUCAAUAGGAGUCAGCCACAUCUUGACACUCCAUAUCGUCAGUUAUGCAUCUACCCAUAUGCUGGGGUAAUACCUCUUUAGAUAUCUUCCAUUUAAAGCUCUUGUGAAUUCCUCUCCUUCGAUAGUUUCCAGUAUGUAUGCAUUUCCCGGGGCGCAUCGGCCGAUUUUAUACAGCCCCUCCCAAGUAGGUGACCAUUUACCGAAUUUGGGAUCUUUAGAUCCUAUCGACAGCACCAACUUCCAUACCAAAUCCCCUUGGGUGAAUUGCUUGACUUUGACCUUCUUGUCAUACCACCUGGCCACUCUCUUCUUAUUUUCCUCAAUGCUGAUCAGGGCCCUUAAACGCUGACCCGCCAAAUCGUUGAGCUCCCCUUUCAUGAGGAGGGAAUAAUCAUCGGCCGUCAACUGAUCCUGAAGCGAUGUGCGCCUUGACCCCGUCCUUAAUUCCCAAGGUAAUACUGCCUCAUGACCAUAUACCAACUGAUAAGGAGAUGUUUUAGUGGCCUCGUGGCAGGCCAUCCUGUAAGCCCAUAAAGAUUCAGUUAAAGAUAGGUGCCACUUCUUAGGUUGUUCUUCUAUCUUCCUCUUGAUCAACUUGAUUAUCCCCUUAUUGGAUGAUUCGGCUUGAUCGUUAGCUUGGGCAUAAUAUGGAGAAGAAUUCAACAAUUUAAUCCCCAUAUCGGCGGUGAACUCUUCAAACUCACCUGAGGUGAACAUCGUCCCUUGAUCAGUCGUGAUGGUUUGAGGGAUACCAAACUGAUAAACAAUAUGGUCCCUUACGAAAUCGACCAUAGCGGCCGAUGUCACGGUCUUCAUGUUGGCGCAAAUCAAAAUUUUUCUACCGUGUAAACCAGGAAAACUGUCGUAUAAGGAUCACGGGAUUACCACUCGACGCACUGGAGCGGAAGAUGUAGAAUCGUGUCAGGGCAGCGAAGUCGAUCAGUGUAGUCGAACGUAGUUGAUCACAUCGAUGUCGAGCAGCUCCUCAGCAGCUCGUCCACGUGCAGCAAGAUCGUCUUCGUGCCGCGGCUCGUCGUCGGCUCGUCAUGGCUCGUCAGCGGCUCGUCGUGGCUCGUCGGCGGCUCGUCCAAGUGCUGCAAGUGCAACACCUCCAAGGUAUCCACACGUGCAGGGAGGAAGCGUCGCAAGCCUGACUGCUAGGUCUGCGAGUUGUAAUAGGUGAGGGCGUGGGAGACGCGACAGAUGUGUUUUGCCAAAAGGUAUAAACCCUAUGGCGCCCCCACCCCUCUAUUUAUAGAGGUUCCUGACGGGCCUCUGGGUCCGAGGCCCAUUAGUACUUCUAAACCUAGUCCAACUCGGAUCAUAUCCGAAUUGGGCUUCCAGCCCCUUAAGUGUCUGACCCUAUGGGUUCGGAUACAUAUAGACAUGGCCCGAGUACUCCUACUCGGCCCAAUAGUCGGUAGCGGCCUCUAGCAAGACGUGCAACCUCCCAUACGCACACGAAGAUCAUAUCAGACAAACCAUCACAACAUUAUGUACAUGCUAUUCCCUUUGCCUCACAAUAUUUGGUCUAGCUCCAAGCCGACCGCUCUUUCUCGAUCCUGUGAUUCGGAAUCCCUUUGUAGGUUAACUCUUAACCAUACGUAGCAUGGCCAUGCAUUUUUGGAUCUGAUCACUCGAGGGGCCCAGAGAUAUCACUCUCAAUCAGAGAGGGGCAAAUCCCAUCUUGAUUGACCAUGUCUCAUAGCAUGCUUCUUGACAAACCCGAAAGCUACCUUUUUAACUACCCUAUCACGGUGUAGCGUUUGAUAGCCCCUAAGUAAGUCGAUCCAUAUCUUGAGUACAUGCGACAAUCUCAGGUCUAAGGACAAAGCGUACAUGUUGUGUAAAGAGAGAACUACUUCUUGUGUUGGGUCAGUCCUAACACAUGUCUCCAUAUGUGCCACAUUAUUAGUUUAACAUCUCCAUGUCCAUGACUUGUGAAACAUAAUCAUCAACUAAUACAUGUGCUAGUCUAAUAUUCAUGUGUGUCCUCACAUGAACUUCGACUAAGGACAAUGAACUCCGACUAAGGACAACUUUAGAAUAACCAUACAAGUAAAGAGUUUCACAUACAAUUCACAUAAUUGCAAAUCAAUUCAAGUAGCCUUUAAUGGAUAUUCAAUGAACACAAUAUACAAAUUAUGGAUACAAAUGGAAUAUCAUCAUCUCUAUGAUUGCCUCUAGGGCAUACCUCCAACAGUCUCCCACUUGCACUAGAGUCAAUCUAGAAGGUAUCUAAUACCCAUAGCUCUUACAUGCGCAUCAUGCUUAGCCUGCAGGAGUGGUUUUGUCAACGGAUCAGAAAUGUUCAGAUCCGUGUGUAUUUUGCAUAUCUUGAUCUCACCUCGGUUUAUGAAGUCUCAAAUGAGAUGAAAUCGCCGCAUUACGUGUUUGUUCUUCUGGUGAUUCCUUGGCUCCUUUGCUUGUGCAAUUGCCCAUUGUUAUCACAGUAGAGAUUCAAUGGGUUGGACGCAUUCGGGAACACACCAAGCUCAAUAAGGAAAUUCCUUACCCAAACACCCUCCUUCGCGGCUUCCGAAGCCGCGAUGUACUCAGUUUCUGUCGAAGAAUCGGCCACCGUCUCCUGCUUGGAAAUCUUCCAACUAACAGCACCACCAUUUAGCGUGAACACAAAUCCUGAUUGUGACUUUGAAUCAUCUCUAUCGGUUUGGAAACUAGCAUCGGUGUAACCUGUUACAACGAGCCCCUCCUCACCUCCAUAAACGAGGAACAUAUCUUUAGUCCUUCGUAAGUACUUAAGAAUGUUUUUCACCGCUGUCCAGUGACUCUCACCCGGAUCAGAUUGGUGUCUGCUUGUCAUACUUAGCGCAUAUGAAACAUUUGGGCGAGUACUUAUCAUUGCAUACAUGAUAGAUCCAAUAGCCGAGGCAUAUGGCACUCUACUCAUGCGAUCCUACUCAUCAGCAGUCGAAGGACACCGAGUCUUGCUGAGAUGUAUGCCAUGUGACAUAGGCAAGAACCCUUUCUUCGCCUCUUCCAUGCUGAACCACUUCAACACUUUGUCAAUAUAAGUAUCUUGGCUUAAUCCUAUAAGCCUUCUCGAUCUAUCUCUAUAGAUCUUAAUGCCCAGAAUAUAUGCCGCUUUCCCUAAGUCCUUCAUCGAAAAACUAUUUUUCAGUGAAGCCUUUACGGACUCAAGCAUAGGAAUGUUAUUUCCAAUUAGCAAUAUGCCAUCCACAUAUAAGAUUAGAAAUACUACGAAGCUCCCACUAACCUUCUUGUAAACACAAGACUCUUCUUCGUUCUUGGUGAAGUCAAACCCUCUGACCAUUUCAUCAAAACGAAUGUUCCAACUCCUAGAUGCUUGCUUCAAUCCAUAAAUGGAUCUCUGAAGCUUGCAUACCUCUCCAGCAUUUUUCGGAUCGACAAAACCCUCGGGCUGUAUCAUAUACACGUCCUCAGCUAGGUUUCCAUUCAGGAAAGCUGUCUUGACAUCCAUCUUCCAUAUCUCAUAAUCGAAAUAUGCAGCUAUAGCUAGAAUAAUCUGAAUGGACUUAAGCAUCACUACGGGCGAGAAGGUCUCAUCGUAGUCAACUCCUUGAACUUGUCGAAAACCUUUUGCGACAAGUCGUGCUUUAUAGAUGUGAACAUUUCCAUCCUUGUCCUUUUUCUUCUUAUAGAUCCACUUCCACUCUAUGGCUUUAACACCAUCAGGAGGGUCAACCAAGUUCCAAACUUGAUUGUCUCCCACGGACUCUAUUUCGGAUUGCAUGGCACUUUGGCAUUUUACGGAGUCUGGGUCCAUCAUUGCUUCUGCAUAUGUCGUAGGCUCAUUAUUGUCCAACAAUAAUAUUUCCCUCAUUUCGCGGAGCCUUGCCGACCUUCGUGGUUGUGGCGGUGCUUCUCUUGCCAUGGGUAUCUCAACUUGUUCAGCUACGUUAGCAUCACUCAUUGAUUCUUGCCCAAUCAGCUCAUCUUGAACUUCUUCAAGAUGCACUGUCUUUCCACUCUUUUCUCCUUUGAGAAACUCUUUCUCUAGGAAAACCCCGUUCUGAGCGACAAACACUUUGCCCUCUGACCGGUUCUAGAAAUAAUAUCCCAAAGUUUUCUUUGGAUAUCCCACGAAAAUGCACUUAUCCGACUUUGGUGUAAUCUUGUCCGACUGAAGUCGCUUGACAAACACUUCGCAUCCCCAAAUCUUUAGAAAAGACAAACUCAGAACUUUUCCAGUCCACAUCUCAUAUGGUGUCUUAACUACGGAUUUAGAUGGUACCCUAUUAAGUGUGAAAGCUGCUAUUUCUAGAGCGUAUCCCCAAAAUGACAAUGGUAGGUCCGACUGGCUCAUCAUUGAUCGAACCAUGUCUAACAAAGUUUGAUUACGUCACUCGGAUACACCGUUUCUCUAAGGUGUUCCAGGUGGCGUAAGUUGUGGAACAAUUCCGCAACUCUUUAGAUGAUUGCUAAACUCGUGGCUCAAAUACUCGCCUCCACGAUCAGAUCGUAAGGCCUUAAUUUUCUUGCCACGCUGAUUUUCAACUUCAUUCUGAAAUUCCUUGAACUUUUCAAAGGUUUCAGACUUGUACCUCAUUAAGUAGACAUAGCCAUAUCUACUAAAAUCAUCAGUGAAAGUUAUGAAGUAUUGGAAUCCUCCUCUAGCCGUCGUGCUUAUUGGUCCGCAUACAUCGCUAUGUACGAGUUCCAAUAAGUCUACUUGUCGUUGUCAAGAUUUGCGGAUCAAGACUUAGACUAGUAAAUUUCUUUUAUGCGCGUAAGGCUUCGGAUGGUGGCGUGGGAGACAAGGGGUUAGACUGGUUCGGGCAAAGGAAGGCCCUACGUCCAGUGUCGAGAGCUGCUCGUGUUACCCACGCGGGGGUUCUGUAGUAGGGGUUAUAGGAGGGUGAGAGAGGGAAUGAUCCCAGGUCUCUUGAGUGAGCUCGUGCUCUACGUGAGUGUGGGUGUGUUCUCGUGCUUCAGGGGGAGAGUCCCCUGCCUUAGGACCCCCGGUCCUCCAUUUAUAGCGCAAGAGGGAGCUUGAGGUUACAGUUGAGCCAGGCAUGAGAGGAAGUAAAAGGGAUAAGCCAAGUAAGAAAUAACAUAAGGAGAGGGUCCCAGGGCCGCCGCUCUCGCUCCAGCCUCCGGUCCCUGUCAGCGCGUCCGUCGAGGGGGGCGAUUUCUCCCCGAUCUUGUCGAUGAUCUCCCUGGUCGCCGUCGCCGUCGAGCAUGAUGAUGAGCCUCAGCCUCGGCAUCCGCGCUCGCUGGGGAGGAGGGCUGAUUCUGUUACCCUGCUAAAUACCGUAAGACCCGGACGUCGCGUCCCUAUCACCGGGGGCGCGGGGCGCGAGAGCAAAUGGAGCGCCUUCCAGUGCCGUUCGGUGCGGGUCAUGAGUAACCUGCGGCGAAUCAGAGGGAGCCGCAACGACUGCAGCUCGCGCCGCACAGCCGCGCAUAGGUAUUCAUGACCGGUUUCAUUAGGGACACCGCUCCCUUUCAGCUUGACAGAGCCGCGGCGCAUUUAUGGCGAGAUCGAUUGGGGGACCCACGAGAUCGGUGCCCUGAUCCUCCAGUCCGCGCCCGAGGCAGAUAUUUGUCUUGUGGACCCGAGCGAAUUCGACCCCCGCGCCUAGGGUCGGGCGAGGCGGAGUCUUUGCGACAGGGGUCAGGCGCUCCCGACCCCGGCCCUCUGGGUCGGGCGAGGCGGAGUUUAGUCUUCAAGGGGUCGGGAACGUCCGACCCCAGGACUCCGGGUCGGGCGAGGCGGAACGUGGCCUCUUCCUCCCAUAUUGGGCUGACGAUGAUUUUGCCACCUUAGAUGGGCCUGGGCCUUUAAGUUCUGUCAAUUUCAUGGGCCGGUGGAGAUCAUUGAUAUUUCCCCCCAACACUACUGCUCUCUUAGGAAAAUCUGUGAAAGGCGUCUUGGUCAACUUGCCUAGCAAGCAAGCCUCACAUGUCUCGUAUGAUUCAAAAUCAAACGAAGUUACAAGUCCAUCAGAAUGGAGAUUCUUCAUGUGCUUUUCACUUAUAUGACCCAAACGAUAAUGCCACAAGUAGGUAGGACUCAAAUCAUUAGGCCGAGGCCUUUUAGCACUUACGUUACAGACUGGUGCACCAUCAAGAUUUAAAACAAACAAUCCAUUCACAAUGGGUGCAAAAGCCAUAAACAUAUCAUUCUUAGAGAUCACAAAACCAUUGUUUUCACUCGCAAAUGAAUAACCAUCCUUCAUCAAGCAUGAAUGACACAAAAUGUUUUGACUUAAACUAGGAACAAAAUAAUAAUUAUUCAACUCCAUAAUAAAUCCUGACGGGAGAUGGAGUUGCAUCGUCCCGAUGAUCAACGCAGCAACUCUUACAUUAUUGCCCACGCGGAAAUCAACUUCUCCUCUUUCCACACUUCUACUUCUUAUCAUUCCCUGCAUCGAAUUGCAAAUAUGAGCAACCGAUUCGAUAUCAAAUACCCAAGAAUUAAUAAUCGUAUCAGUGAGAAAUAUAUUGUCUAUAACAUUAAUAACAAGCAUACCUGAGGUGGAAGUACUCUUACUUCCGCCAUUCUUCAACGAAGCUAGGUACUGCUUGCAAUUUCUCUUCCAGUGACCAAGUUCAUGACAGUAAAAUCACUCUUUUUCUGGAGCAGGUCCAGGUCCAGCUUUAACCUUAGGCGCUGGGUUUGGCUUGGACAAUCCAGCUUUGCCCUUCUUCUUCCAAGAAUUGGCCUUCUUCUUAAACCUAGGCUUGUUCUGUAUAGCCAUCACAUGGCUGCUACUAGCGCUUUUCAUGAUGUCAACUUCUGCUGUCUUGAGCAUACCACACAGUUCAUUCAGACCCUUCUUCGUCCCAUGCAUAUAGUAGUUCGAGAUGAAGUUCCCAUAGCUAGGUGGAAGAGAUGAAAGAAUGAAGUCAGUGGCCAACUCUUUGCCCAUUGGGAAGCCCAGCUUCUCCAAUCGCUGAGUGUAACCAACCAUCUUUAUUACAUGUGGUCCUACUGCUGAGCCUUCUGCUAGCUUGCACUCCAGAAAGGCUUUGGACACAUUGAAUCUUUCAGUCCUAGCCUGUGUCUAGAACAUGUCCUUGAGCGCCACGAUCAUAUCGUGCGCCUCAUGGUUUGUUUCAAACUGCAUCUGCAGCUCGGGUUCCAUGCAAGCAAGCAUAAGGCAGCUUACCUCAAGAUUAGCAUCAAAUGCCUUCUUGUAGCAGCCUUAACGGCAGCAGAUGCAUCAUCAGCAAGUACUUGUGGUAGUGGGGUGUCUAGAACAUCUUCCUUUUUAUCGGCCCUGAGAACAAUUUUUAGGUUACGGAUCCAAUCCGAGUAGUUUGUUCCAUUCAACUUGUCCUUCUCAAGGACCGACCGCAAAGCAAACGGUGUGGUGUUGCUCAUUUAAUCUACAACAAAAGUAAUGCAAAAUACACUAAGACAAACAUAUCCAUGAUGGAGCAAAUGAUAUUAAACUAUUUAACAGAAUCUACUCCCACUAAAAUCAAUAUCCCUCUAUUGAUACUUGGUGAUUCAAGAUCCACAACUAAUAAGUCUACUAGUGAGCUUUAGCAUCACUGCUAGCAAACAAGGUAGAUCGGUAAGCAACUUCUUGUUAAUCAUAUCACAUAUGACUCUUGUUGUUGGGUGACAUCUCCAUGUCUCGGCGCCCAACCUUUAUGCCCCAAGGUCCUUAACCGUUAAGAUAACAUUGUUAAGCAAACCAACCCUUAUGCGUGUAAGUGUCCGACACAAACCCGUCUAGUCAAGGAAAACUAGUGGUACCCUAAUUUCAUAGACCCACCACCAAUUGUACAAGACAUGGGACGGUGCAAGUUUUAGUUGGGAGGGCAUACUAACUUAAACUUUGUGAGGGAUUGUUCUACUUCUAACAUCACAGCAUGCAGAAAGUAAAACAUAAAGAAUAGCAUUCACACAGUUGUGACACAGUAUGGCCCAUUUUCUAAUGAUGAUCUCCAUCUCCACAGAACCUAUUCACCAUGGUGAUCUCCAUCUUCAUGUUCCAUGAGCGCCAUUCUCCUGGUGAUGAGUCCUCCAAGAACUAGAACAUGCUAUUACGCCUAAUAGCUAGUAAAGAAGCUAGUAAUAAAGAUUACAUAGUUGCUUGGAUCAUCACAGAUUGGUACGCAAACCAUUAAAUACAUUAAAGUGACAACACAUAUGGCUCCAACCGUGUUGCCGUACGCACGACACGCAGGUCACGAAUGAGUUACACACAUGCAUCACAUACACAAGGGGGCCAUACUGAUCACAAGAUACAUACAUCCUGCAAAACAGAGUUAGGUGUUCUAAUGUUCCAAACUUCAGAGGCUCGAAACUCCAUCUUCCAAGCUGAAUUUGGGAAAUCUAAUUUUGCCAAAAAUGGCAAAGCGGUUGAAUUUUAUGUGUAACUUUUUCUGUAGAUCAAUUUACAUAUAAAAUUCACCCCGAUCCGAGAUCGUACCAAAAAGUUACGGCUGAUUUACCGAAGCACACGCCCAUGGCAAAAUCCCGACCCGGUAGUAGAUCCAAUCUACUAUUGCACAUCUCAUGCGCCUGGCGUAUGAACCUGGAUUUCGAUUCGAUCAAUCACAUUGAUCUUCGCUCGCUGCAACUAGCAUUACGUGUAUCACUUAACUCCGAUGGCGGAAACCCGACCAGUAGGAGUAUGUCGUUACACAACCAUUGCAGCAAGAACACGAAACCAGGACAUAGAUCAAACUGAAAACUCGCAUAUCUCCAUAUGCACACAUCCCGAAUUCAAAACUAAACAGCUACGGCUCUGAUACCACUGUUGGGAUACGAGGUAGGCUACACUAGCACAAAUCAAAAAUUUUCUACCGUGUAAACCAGGAAAACUGUUGUAUAAGGAUCAAGGGAUUACCACUCGACUACACGCGGAAGAUGUAGAAUCGCGUUGGGGCAGCGAAGUCGAUCAGCGUAGUCAAACGUAGUCGAUCACGUCGAUGUCGUGCAGCUCCUCAGCAGCUCGUCCACGUGCAGCAAGAUUAUCUUCGUGCCACGGCUCAUCGUCGGCUCGUCGUGGCUCGUCGGUGGCUCAUCCAAGUGUUGCAAGCACAAUACCUCCAAGGUAUCCACACGUGCAGGGAGGAAGCGUUGCAAGCUGGACUGCUAGGUCCCAAGUUGCAACAGGCGAGGGCGUGGGAGAUGCGGCAGAUGUGCUUCGCCAAAAGGUGUAAACCCUAGGGCGCCCCACCCCUCUAUUUAUAGAGGUUCCUGAUGGGCCUCUGGGUCCGAGGCCCAUUAGUACUUCUAAACCUAGUCCAACUCAGAUCAUAUCCGAAUUGGGCUUCAAGCCCCUUAAGUGUGUGACCCUAUGGGUUCGGAUACGUAUAGACAUGGCCCGAGUACUCCUACUUGGCCCAAUAGUCAGUAGCGGCCUGUAGCAAGACGUGCCACCUCCCAUACGCACACGAAGAUCAUAUCAGAUGAACCGUCACAACAUUAUGUACAUGCUAUUCCCUUUGCCUCAUGAUAUUUGGUCUAGCUCCAAGCCAACCGCUCUUUCUCGAUCCUGUGAUUCGGAAUCCCUUUGUAGGUUAACUCUUAACCGUACGUAGCAUGGCCAUGAAUUUUCGGAUCUGAUCACUCGAGGGGCCCAGAGAUAUCACUCUCAAUCAGAGAGGGCCAAAUCCCAUCUUGAUUGACCUUGUCUCACAGCAUGCUUCUUGACAAACCCGAAAGCUACCUUUUUAACUACCCUAUCACGGUGUAGCGUUUGAUAGCCCCUGAGUAAGUCGAUCCACAUCUUGAGUACAUGCGACAAUCUCAGGUCUAAGGACAAAGCGUACAUGUUGUGUAAAGAGAGAACUACUUCUUGUGUUGGGUCAGUCCUAGCACAUGUCUCCACAUGUGCCCACAUUAUUAGUUUAACAUCUCCAUGUCCAUGACUUGUGAAACAUUGUCAUCAACUAAUACAUGUGCUAGUAUAAUAUUCAUGUGUGUCCUCACAUGAACUCCGACUAGGGACAACUUUAGAAUAACCAUACGAGUAAAGAGUUUCACAUACAAUUCACAUAAUUGCAAAUCAAUUCAAGUAGCCUUUAAUGGAUAUUCAAUGAACACAAUAUACAAAUCAUGGAUACAAAUGGAAUAUCAUCAUCUCUAUGAUUGCCUCUAGGGCAUACCUCCAACACUUCAACGGAACUGCCUCCACCCACUUGGUAAAAUAAUCAGUAGUCACUAAUAUAAACUUAUGUCCUUUGCUUGAUGGAGGAUAAAUCUGUUCGAUGAGGUCUAUUCCCCAACCUCUAAACAGCCAUGGUUUGAUUAUCGAAUUCAUAGCCGAGGCUGGUGCGCGCUGCAUGUUGCCAAACUUCUAACAAUCUUGACAGCCUUUAUAAUAUUUGAAGCAAUCUUCGAGUAUCGUCGGCCAAUAAUACCCAUUGUUUCUGAUCAUCCACUUCAUCUUGUGAGCCGAUUGAUGAGCUCCGCACAUGCCCUCGUGAAUUUCUCCCAUCAGGACCUUUGCUUCUUCCGUUCCCAGACAUUUGAGCAGAACUCCAUCAAUUGUUCGGUAAAACAAAUCAUCUUCGAGCAGCACAUAUUUUGUGGCCUGAAAGCGUAUUCGCCGAUCCACUUUCUUGGAUGGAUCUUUCAAGUAAUCGGCAAUCUCCUUUCGCCAAUCAUCGGCUGCAAGUUCCAGAGUCAUGGCGCCUUGAAUCGGCCGAUACCCGGACGCAUGUUGGGCAAGCCUAUUGGCCUUUUCAUUGUAAUUUCUGGGAAUAUGCUCAAUAACCGCAGACUUGAAUUCCUUUAAAAGUUGGAGGCAAUCUUCGUAGUAAAUCCUCAAGACAUCGUCUUUGCAUUCAGAUUUCCCCGUUAAUUGAUCCACAAUGAGCAUGGAAUCCCCAAAAAUUUCCACCGCAUUGGCUUUGAUCUCUCUCAACAAUUGAAUACCUUUUAGGACAGCUCGGUAUUCCGCCUGAUUAUUGGUUGCGCAUGCCUCUAUCGGCAGAGAGAAAUCAUAACUUGCCCCCCGAGACGAUAUGAGGACGAUGCCGAUUCUUAAUCCGGCCCCACAUGAAGAACCAUAGAAGUACAGAGUCCAUGAGACUGGUUCAACGACAGCGAUUUCUGGUCCGCAAUGCUGAGCCACGAAAUCGGUCAUGACUUGGACCUUGAUAGCUUUGGCCGAUUCGUACUUUAGGUCAAACUCUGACAGAGCUAGGUUCCACUUUCCAAUCCGUCCUUUCAAAAUUGGCAAUGAUAGCAUUCACUUUACUACGUCAUCCUUGCAUACGACUAUGCACUCUGCCGAUAACAGGUAGUGUCUGAGCUUGAUACAUGAGAAAUACAGACACAGGCACAGCCAUUCCACUGGGGAAUAUCUUGUUUCGGCGUCCAGGAGUCUUCUGCUGACAUAAUAUAUUACCCGUUCUUUUCCUUCGAACUCCUGUACUAGCGCCGAUCCGAUAGCCUGUUUGUCGGCCGAUAAGUAUAGUCUGAACGGCAUGUCAGCCUGUGGCGGGACUAAUAUAGGUGGCGAAAUCAGAUAUUGCUUGAUGUUUUCCAACGCUUUUCGCUGCUCUUCUCCCCACACGAAUUCCUGAUCGGGUUUCAACUUCAACAAAGGAGUGAAAGCUUGAAUAUGCCCGGACAAGUUGGAUAUGAAUCUUCUGAUAAAGUUGACCUUGCCGAUUAGGGACUGUAGCUCAGUCUUAUCCUGCGAGGCUACAACCUUGUUAAUGGCAGUUAUGAUCUUCCGGUUGACUUCUAUCCCGUGCUCAUAAACCAUGAAUCCUAGGAAUUGUCCGGCCGACACACCAAACGCACACUUGUUUGGGUUCAUUUUCAACCCAUGCUUCCUUGUGCACUCCAACACUUCUUGCAAAUUGGCCAGAUGCUCCUAAUGUCCCUUUGACUUGACCACGACGUCAUCGAUGUAGAUUUCUACCAGUACACCAAUAAGCUUGUGAAAUAUAUAGUUCAUAGCCCAUUGAUAUGUGGCGCCGGCGUUUUUUAAUCCGAAGGUCAUCACUACCCACUCGAAUAGACCGAGGUGGCCCAGGCACCUGAAAGCCGUCUUCAAAAUAUCUUCUUCGGCCAUUAAUAUUUGAUUGUACCCAGUAUUACCAUCCAUGAAACUGAUGACUUUAUGUCCUACGGCGGCGUCUAUCAAGACAUCGGCUGUCGGUAUUGGAUACCCAUCCAUCGGCGUAGCCUGAUUAAGGUUCUUGAAGUUGAUGCAUACGCGCAACUUUCCAUUUUUCUUGUAUACGGGUACAAUAUUAGAAAUCCACUCGGCGUAACGGCACUGCCGAAUAAAUCUCGCUUCAAUCAAUCUUCUAAUCUCGGCCUUUAUAUCAGGUAGAAUUUUAGGGUUGCAUCAUCGUGCAGGCUGCUGAUACGGCCGAUAUCCUGGUUUUAUAGGCAACCGGUGUUCGACAAUGAAUCGGUCUAGACCAGGCAUCUCAUGGUAUUCCCAAGCAAAACAAUCUUUAAAAUCUUUCAAUAAACUUGUCAAUUUACAUUUGUACUCGGGAUCCAAGCUAGCACUAAUAUACGUUAGCCUUGGUUUGCUGCCAUCGCCUAAGUCCACCAUCUCCAAUGAAUCGGCCGACGUAAAUCCGUGCCCAAGCUUCCCGUCUUCUCGGAUGAACUGAUCCAUCUAAUUUGAAUCUUUAGAGCCGACUGCUCGGAUCGACUGUAGGCCAAAAUCGGACACUUUCAGGAAAUCGGUGUCCCAAGCUCUACCAGAUAUGCACUUAACGUGUUCGCAGCUCCACUGUUGCGCGUCGGCCGCAGCAACACUGUAGGCGGAAUCGGCGGUGACUAUCUCGAUGUUGUUGCCGACCCACUGUACGAGGCAUUGGUGCAUUGUAGACGGGAUGCAACAAUUCACGUGUAUCCAAUCGUGAACGAGCCACAUGUUGUAGGACCCUUUGCCAUUAAUAAUAAAGAAAGUAGUGGGAUGGGUCUUACUGCCGUUGGUGAGGUCGACGCAGAGUGCUACGCGGGCGGGGGAUACGUUGCCCUCGAAAUCCUUGAGCAUCAUAUCCGUCUUGGUCAGAUCUUCAUCACUUUUGCCCAAUUUUUGGAACAUAGCAUAUGGCAUGAUAUUGACUGCGGUGCCUCCAUCCACCAGUAGCCUAGUGAUAGGUCGUCCGUUAACGUGUCCUUUGAGGAACAGAGCCUUGAGAUGUUGUCGUUUUUUGUCUUCUGGUUUCUCAAAAGUGGCUGUCAUUGGCUCCCAAUUGCGCCAUCUACUCUUCCAUCCUUGUCGUGUUGUCCCGAGCGGUGGGUGCCAUGAACUUCAUCGGCAAGAUGAACACCAUGCUGACGUCAGCUGCCAAUUCCUGAUUGUUGCCUUCCUCAUUGUUGUUUCUUCUGGGGCGCUAGACUCGAGACCUGUCACCUUUCUUAUUCACCAUCUGCCUCUGCUCUUCUUCUUGUUGUUCCCAUUGGUGCAGACAUUGGAUCCUUCAUUUUUGGGAUUUGGUCAAUCCAUUAGGGCACCAUCUGGGGUUCACCGGUUUGGCCGGCGGUUUGGUGCGCUCCCAGUCUGGUUCUUGCCCUAGGGGGUUUUCAUCUGACACCUUAGCGUCGGCAAUGCCUUCUAGCCGAUUGUGUGCGCUGGCUCUGCCCCCCAAUCGCUUGCACUGGUCAACCCUUCCCCCCGGCCAAUCAUACUGUUCAAGUCUGCCCCUUGGCCGAUCAUACCGAUCAACUCUGCCCCCAGCCGAUCACGCACUGAAAGGCGCCGAUCCUCUUGUUCACGCCAGUUUCUGCUGAUCGGCUCUGAUCCUCUGUCUCUAGAGCGUGACCUCUUGAACGGGUGAUUGUCGUGAUAUGGACUGCUGCACUCAGGGCAAUUAUUGGGCGAUGGUAACCUGAGGUUAUUUUCCCAGCAAUGGAUGAAGAAUGGGCAUCGCCAAUGAUCUUCGUGUCGGUGCAUCAUCUCUUCGCGACGUCUCGAACUUUCCUGCUGCCGCUAAUAUCUGUUGAGCAAGAAUUGGGAGGUGAUGGGUCUAUGCGGUCUCUCCGAUUCUUCACCCUCAUCUUCGACCCGUCUCUUCCCUUUGACAUCUUCAACCGUGGCCUGAUUUCUGGGGUCCACGGCGCCGCUUCUCUUAGCCGAUUCCGACAUCAGUACCUUGGUUUGAAGCGCGUUUCUUCCCGCAUCAACCAUGUUAGUAGGGAAAGGAUGCUGAUCAAUCUUCAUCGGCUUUGCUGGCUUCGCUAGGACUUCAAAUUUGAGUUUGCCUUGCUCAGUGGCUGACUGUAUCUGCUGACGGAAGAUUUUGCAUUCAUUUGUGUCGUGAGACAUGGCAUUGUGCCACUUGCAAUAUUUCAUCGUUUUGAGCUGCUCGACCGAUGGAAUGGUGUGGUAAGGUGAGAGCUUGAUCUGCCCCUCUUAGAGAAGUAAAUCGAAGAUCUUGUCGGCCUUUGACAUGUCAAAACCGAACGCUUCUGGUUCUUUCUUCCCGAACGCGCGUGAUAUCAGCUUUUUUCCUUUUACGUAUUCUACUAGGCCGAUUUCCGCUUCCUCUUCAGACUCAGAUCCUUCCAAGCAUGCCACCUUCUUCUGAAAAUUCCUCCGUUGGUCGAAAGGGCGUAUUUCUUGACCGGCCAAUCGGUGGACGAUUUGACUUAAGCUGUCAAACUCCCCGGAGGCUUACUUCUCUUUGAUGUGUGGCAGGAGACCUUGGAAGGCGAUAUCGGCCAGCUGAGCGUCGGUCAGAACUAGGGUGUAGCAUUUGUUUCUGACCUCUCGAACCUUUGCACGUAAUUGGUCACUGGUUCGUCGCUCCUCUGCCUGAGGCUGGUCAAAUCUGAGAGCUUCAUCUCAUGGACUCCCGCGUAGAAGUACUUAUGGAACUGCUUCUCCAGAUCGGCCCAAGUAACGAUGGAAUUGGGCGGUAGCGUAGUGAACCAUUGGAAAGCCGACCCGGACAGGGAUGACGAGAAUAGUCGUACCCGCAGAGCAUCUUGUGUGGCGUCCUCUCCGCACUGGAUGAUGAAUCUAUUUAUGUGCUCCACAGUUGAGGUGUCAUCCAGUCCCGAAAACUUGGUGAAGUCAGGAACUUUGUACCGAUAGGGAAACGGCAGUAGAUCGUAGGCAGGUGGGUAUGGCGUCUUGUACGUAUAGGUUUGUACCUUCGGCUUCAACCCGAAUUGGUCUUGAAUCACCUCCGCUAUCCUUGAUGUCCAAUCCACUUGCUGCUGAUGAACAACUGGUUGAGGGAUCGGCACAUGUUGAUGGAUCGGCGGCGGGAUGGCCGGGUGAUGGAUCAAAGCGUGCGGCGGAUUUUGUGGCAGCGUGGCCGACUGAGCAGUUGACAGUUGGUGGCGUAGCGAAUCUAUCGUUCUAUCGUACAACAUCAUUGGUGCCGUGCUUUUGAGUGUUUCCGUAGUGUCUGCUCCCCUGCCGAUUUCUGAUGAGGCCGGUUGAUGUUGUGGGACCGUCGGCCGGAUAGCCGAUUGGAAUGGUGCUUGGAUCGGAGAGCUUCCAUAACUGGUUGAUUGGUCCAAACCAGCCGCCAUCGCUGGUGCCCCCCAUAGUACUGAGUUUGAGGGCAGUGAUUGCAUGGGGGAAACCUGGGUAGGCUGAGGCGGCGCUUGCGAGUGAAAGCAUGGCGCGCCGUUGUAUCCUGGAGGCAUUGAAGUAUUGUAUCCUCUAUGUUGCAUUGGUAUCGGCUGAGGAGCUGAGUGAGAUGUGCCUGGUAGGCUUCUGAUUGGAGCUACAAUGGGCGGGGCGUACGCCGGCCCCUGAUACCCCUAUGCUACUCCGCUGACCAGGGAACUGAUGACGGCAUUGUAUACCGUGUUGGUCAUUACUGAAGAUUGGUCGAUGAAAGCCUGGUAGACGGACUGCUAAAUCAUAUCGGACAUCUUGCCCGAGUCCUCAGCGAUGGUGAUUUGGCGGGGAGUUGGAAGAGGAGCUUUCUUGAUGGUUUCCCCGCUUCUGGUACGACUGAAAGAUUGCAAGCAUGUCUUCCUGUAUUCUUCUAGGUGUCUUGCCAAUUCUUCUUUCUAGUCGUCCUUGAGAUCUGUUUCUGUAACCUUGAUGACGUUGUCUUCGGAGAUUUCGGCAGCUUUUGACAUGUUGGAUGUUGUGUUGGUCCCACCGAGCAUGCCAAAAGUGUGUUGGCACUAAAAACCAGCCGACGGUCUUCAGCGUUGGACACACGAUCUGGGAGAAUCUGCUUAACUCCUGUUCCGGUUAUCGCCCAGGUGCAGUUCACAUGGUGUGCCAGUCAAUCUGACCUGUUGAUUGACAAGGAAAUAAAGAAAUUAAAUUCCAGGGGCUACGAUCGGCUAGAGUUCUGAUCUGCUUUUAAAGCGAGUCGGCGAAUCGGCCGAUUCACUGCAGAGAUAAUCGGCUUAGUAGAACAGCCGAUACCACGUAGCGAUUGCGAAGUAAAACCACUAGAGCAGACUAAACAACGCUACAAAUGCAACACUUGAAAUAAAUCUAAUCGGCUAUAUGGCGAUAAAUAAGAAUAACAAUAAUGAAGCCGACAAUUCAAAUCUCAAGCUGGAUAACUGGUGAUAAAAACUAGAGCAAUAGAUAGAACCUAUAAUUCUAGUUAAUAUCGAUAACUGGUGAAUAAAUCUAAACGAAACAACAGCGAUGCGCCCGAAGUUAAAGCUUAGAUAUUACUCGAUAAGCGGAACUUACAGAAUCAGCCGGAGAUUGUGUCGAUGCAAUCCUGCCAACCCGUAUGAACUCGUGAAAGAAAAAAUGUUUUGGCGAAGUCGCCGACUUGAAAGUAAAGUACGAUGAAAAAGUAGAUUUGUUGUAUUGAUUGAUGUGUCUUUACAAAUCUCUGAAGAUGGCUAUUUAUAGCCUGUUACAACUAAUUUCCUAACCGACUAGGAUCUAUCUCUAAUUUUAAACGAAAAUAAAUAUUUACAAACACAACUCGUACCGGAGUUGGUUAUCAUACUCCCACGGGCCAAUCUUUCUCUAUCUUCUUUUUCUGGCCCACCUUAAGCCCAUAUUGGCCCACUCGCUCCAGCCAUCCAAUCGGCCGAUCCCCACCAACUCCGUCUGCCAAUCGCUCGAAACACUGUAGCGCCAAUCGGCCAAUUCCCAAUCGUAACCUUUUAAUCUACCGCAUCGGCCGAUCCUUUCCUCUCUUGACGUCGAUCCAAAACGUGUCAAAAUCUGGCAUCAACAAAAUGAUAUAGUGUAACCGGGAUAAAAUUUAGGAAACAAACUUUUGCAUAGAGAUAAAGGUAUAGAAUUAUUACAAGCCUAGCAUGUCUUGCAUGUCUCGGUACUCCAUCGGAUCUUUCCUCAACGAAUCAAAGACAGUGACGUGGCUUCUUUCAGACUCAAUUAUAAUGAGGAUUCAGUGGAAACUGCGUACGUAAAUGUUCAUACAUAUUACAGCUAACUAACAUUAAUCAGGUAAGGAAAAAGAAAACGAAAGUAGACGGUAUACACACACUUACUUGAAGUUGUAUGGAAGUAGUAUGAAAUCCUUGAAUUUUUGUUUGUCUAGGAAAUUGUAUACUUCCACCAAGAUUUUUUCCGACGAUACCUCCCCUUGGAUCCGACUGGUAGAUUUGUGUACUAACCACUGAUGGCAACAUCAUAGCGCGUGAACCACGAGGGCAGGAACAGUGACCUGGCCAAGUAAGGUGGGCGCUCAGACAUCGUGCAUUAAGUCUGAGGUGACGACUCUCUGCUUUAUUCCUGUUCGAUUGAAUUUUCAAAGAGAUCAUUUGAGUUCCUUCAACUUCUACAGUGGUUCAUUUCACGCGUAAAUUCAGGCCCGUGGUUGGACCUCGAGUAAACUUAGAAUGAACCACUUGAUAAGUUGAAGGACCAGAUGGGAAUGCUGGAAUAGUUUAAGAACCCAUGAUGCAUGCAUUUCACUCUUUCUUUCAACAGUUAAAUAUGCAUCCAUCGGCCAUGCUUUGUUAAGUACCUGGAUUUAUUACAUAAUGUAGCAUUUCUCAUCUAACUAUUACCGUAAGGUUUCCAUACACUGCACAAGACCUUCAUGAACUCUUGAUUGCUUUUUGAAACGCCGAAUGCACGACCGUUAUUAACAAUGAGAUAUUUGUUAGUUCUGGUGCUAACAAGUAGGCCUAACCAUGAUACAGACCCAAGCAGGAGAUAAAAGGAAUAAGAAAAAUAGAAGAAAUGGGUAUUUCCUAUUGGCAUAAAUUCAGAUAGCUGAAGCAAAAGAUAUGUUAACCCUGAAUAAACAAUGAUAAUAAAUUAUGCUAAGCAACCAAAAAUUAUAUGCAGUUAAUUUAGAAAACAAUUAUUUUACUACACUAAAUAUCUUGAUAAUACUAUAAUUUUUCUAGAAUUAAAUAAAACUAGAAAAUAUUGCAUUAAUUUACCGUUAUCAUUCACAUUCCAAAAUAAUAAAUUUUGGGGUGUGACACUAACACAUCUGACGUUGCUGCAAAUUAUGAUAAUGAUGCACCAUGUUAUUCAUUGCUUUGCAGAGAUACUUUCUUUUGACAUGGUCCUAUAUAUGUCUUGCCAUUUGCAUCCUGCUGUCACCAACCUUGUUUAGGAAUGGAAUGAUGAGAUGGAGUUGAGAGGACGAUUGCAAUUCAAGAACGGAAGGAUGAUGAAAACGUGAACACACUAGCUGCGAACGAUCCUGCGUCAGUGUAUACCGUCGGUGCUUGCCGUUAUUCUGCCAUUGUAAAAGUGAACCGUGGGCUCUUGUGAGUGUCCACAUGCGUCAGUGUCUUUUUGGUCAGGCAUCCGUGUGGCAGGGGUGUUUGGUUCUAUUUGCUUAUUUUUAGCACGUGUCACAUCAAAUGUUUAGAUACUAAUUAGAGGUAUUAAACGUAGACUAUUUACAAAACCCAUUACAUAAGUGGAGGCUAAACGGCGAGACGAAUCUAUUAAGCCUAAUUAAUCCAUCAUUAGCAAAUAUUUACUGUAGCAACACAUUGUCAAAUCAUGGAUUAAUUAGGCUUAAUAGAUUUGUCUCGCCAUUUAGUCUCCACUUAUGUAAUCGGUUUUGUAAAUAGUCUACGUUUAAUACUCCUAAUUAGUAUCUAAACAUUUGAUGUGAUGGAUGCUUAAAUUUAAAUUUAAGUUAGUGAAUCAAAACAGGCCUAAGCCUGUCCUGGUGCUCAGCUUGUCUUUGUCUGUGACAGGCGCCAGUGUCUGAGCACAUGCAAUGGCUCAGACAUAGCUUUUCUGCUGGCCGACACUUGUAGACGGCCGACACUAGCCUUAAUAAAAAAAUUUCGGUUGUUUUUAUUUAGGACUAAAAGUAAUCUUCAAUAAAAAGCUCAUCUUAGUCCAGAUUGAUGUUACAAAUAUAUGGCUUAAAGAUCUAGGAUUAAAAGCUGAGAUCUUUAGUCCUGAAUAAUUAAUCCCGAUUAGGAAAACUGAAAUAUACAAGGUUUCCCAACCGGAACUCUCGUUUCUCGACCAAUGUCAUGACAUUUUCUGUGCUAGGCCGGGACGACUGUGCCUGACAAUGAUAAUAACAUCGCAUGCAAUGCCCCAUCAAGCUAGCUCACAGAAACGCGCAGGCUACCUGUUUUAUUUCUGAUGAUGUGUUCAGUAGUGUUCUAACAUUUUUGUAUUAUAAAUGAUAGAUGCUGGCUGGUGCCCGACAAUGACAGUAACAUUAUUGCACGCUGAUCAAGCUGGCAGAGUGACUGAGUGGGCACAUAUAACUUGCUGCCCUCGAUGUGACCGGGAGCAGCCUCUCUAUGAAUUAUUGGUCCAUUAGCAACCGGAAUCUUGAGAAGAAAUACCAAGGUCAAUUGAGGACACACGGUAAUAACGAUCAACUGUUUGAAAAGAUGAACAAAUAGAAGCUCAGAUGGAUUGACAGCUACCCACGUAAAAGCUCAUCCAAUGUAUGGUUAGAUGUGCAUGAACAAAUACGUUUUGAACCGCACCUAAAAGUCUUUAUUUUUAGGGCAUCCUAACCCUACUAGAAAACAAGACAUCGAUCCUCAACAAAAAUUUCGGAACGAAUUGACCCGGAACUAAUACUGAUUCCGGCUAGUAUUAGUCUCAGGUCUAAAAUUUCAUAGUUCUAGAAGGCCUUUUAGCCCUUUAGUGCCAAACGGGACUAACACCUACCUUUAGUGCCGGUUUGUAAUACCACCUUUAGUGCCGGUUUGUAAUACCAACCCGGGACUAAUGCUUGCAACAUAAUCCUUAAGUAGAGACACUUUUAUAUAAAUAUUUUACAAUUUACGCGUGACUUGUGAUUUGCGACGUGCGCGUGUGGGGGAGCCUCUCAGGAAUUUCUAAUAGUUUUUGGCGCAAAACUCUUUAAUCCCGAUUGGUAUUACCAACCAGAACUAAAGAUAUGGCUUUAGUUCCGGGUGAAAGAUCUGAGACUAAAGGUCACGAUCUUUAGUCCUGAAUGAUUAGUUUCAAUUGGGAAAAUGAAGAUAUAUGAGGUUUUCCAACCGCACUAUGCUCGUUUCUCUACACAUUUUCCGUGCUAGGUCGGGACGCCGGACGACUGUGGCUGACAACGACAAUAACAUCGCAUGCAAUGCCCCACUUCAUAGCUUGUCUUCUGGCCACAUCAUACCGCAUGAACCACGAGGCGACGACUCUGCUUUAUUCCUAUUUCUUUCAACAGUUAAACAUCCAUCGGUCUAGGGGUGUUUGGAUCCCAGGCUAAAUUUUAACCCCUAUCACAUCGAAUAUUUGACACUAAUUAGGAGUAUUAAACAUAGGCUAAUUACAAAACCAAUUUCACAACCCCUAGACUAAAUCGCGAGACGAAUCUAUUAAACCUAAUUAGUCCACGAUUUGACAAUAUGGUGCUACAGUAAACAUUCGCUAGUGAUGGAUUAAUUAGGCUUAAUAGAUUCAUCUCGCGAUUUAGCCUAGGGGUUCUGCAAUUAGUUUUGUAAUUAGCUCAUGUUUAGUCCUCCUAAUUAGCAUCCGAAUAUCUGAUGUGACAUGGAUUAAAUUUUAGCUCCAGAUCAAACACCUACCUGGAGUUAAACAGUGGGCAUGGUAGGUGCUCAGCCAUCGCACGUGUUGAAGAACGUGCGUGGUCUUAGCUAGUCUCCUAGAGGCAAUAUAAUCAGUCACCGGAAACUUUUAUUGCACAGCUCAGCAAGCUCAUCUUGCAGCGCGUUCGGCAGCGCGUUAAGCCGCUGCUGCGGCUGCUGGCUGCCGCAGCCGGUGCUGUAGCGCUACAGCAGCAGCAGCCGGUGCUGUAGCGCUGCAGCUGCUGCUGCCGCCGCUAAGCCUGGUAGUAACGGCCGUUUGGCCCGCCGGGUGUGCGUACUAAUGGGCCGUUUGGGCCGUAUUAGUUGCAAGAUUAAAUUUAGUCCGGUUGCAACUCAAAUUUAUGCAGGAAACUAAUGAAGCAAACCGAAUUUGUGUACUCUAUUUUACAAAAUGAAACAAUUAAAAUGUGUGGGACUACAAAUAAUAAUAGAAUUGUUCAUACUUGUAAAAUAUAAGGUUGUUAAAAAACAGAAAUUAAAUUGUUCCUGUACCGAAACGAGCGAGAGAGCGGUAACGACUUAUCCUUACCAAUUUCCAAAGUGGUUUCCGUACUGAUACGCUACUACGUUCGAAAAUAAAUUUUGUAGCGGUUAAUGCAACUACAGUAUCUAAAUGGUGCGCGCCAAACAUAACAAACACACUCGAGCUUACGAACGUACACACACCAUAUUACAAAUUCGUACAUACAAAUUACAACAUGAUUUACACACAUACAUCCCGCGUCUACAUCAACGAGAUGCCCGCAGCAAUCCAAUCUCGGACACUGCCCAUAUCAGGUGUAGCAUUAGCUGCCACCCAUUCGGACACCGCAUAAUCCGGUUCUCGCGCCCUGGACGAUCUUGCAGAACUGUCAUUUCCAACGUCCAACAAAUAAUUAUGCAGUGCAAAGCAAGCAAUAACAAUCUUGGUUGGUCGUUCUCUCGAAUAUAGUGGCACUUCCCGCAGAAUGGUUUUUUAGUUUUUGUAUGUGUGUGUGUGUGCUGCUGUGCGUGUGCGUGUGAUGUGUGUGUGUGCGGGCAUCUCGUGAUGUAGANNNNNNNNNNNNNNNNNNNNNNNNNNNNNNNNNNNNNNNNNNNNNNNNNNNNNNNNNNNNNNNNNNNNNNNNNNNNNNNNNNNNNNNNNNNNNNNNNNNNAUUUGUAUGUACGAAUUUGUAAUAUGGUGUGUGUACGUUCGUAAGCUCGAGUGUGUUUGUUAUGUUUGGCGCGCACCAUUUAGAUACUGUAGUUGCAUUAACCGCUACAAAAUUUAUUUUCGAACGUAGUAGCGUAUCAAUACGGAAACCACUUUGGAAAUUGGUAAGGAUAAGUCGUUACCGCUCUCUCGCUCGUUUCGGUACAGGAACAAUUUAAUUUCUGUUUUUUAACAACCUUAUAUUUUACAAGUAUGAACAAUUCUAUUAUUAUUUGUAGUCCCACACAUUUUAAUUGUUUCAUUUUGUAAAAUAGAGUACGCAAAUUCGGUUUGCUUCAUUGGUUUCCUGCAUAAACUUGAGUUGCAACCGGACUAAAUUUAACCUUGCAACUAAUGUGGCCCAAACGGCCCAUUAGCACGCACACCCGGCGGGCCAACGGCCGUUACUACCAGGCUUAGCGGCGGCAGCAGCAGCAGCUGCAGCGCUACAGCACCGGCUGCGGCAGCCAGCAGCCGCAGCAGCGGCUUAACGCGCUGCCGAACGCGCUGUUGUUUGCCAACAAGUAGAGCAAGCGAGCACAGCGCGACGCACACAGCCAUUGCGAGCAUGGAGAGCCGAAGCCUCCCCAUGGCAGCAGCCACCUCCAUGUCUGUAGCUAUCGCCAUUGUCUUCCUGAUCUACACAGCCGCACCACUGGGAGACGCGGCAUCCGUCGAGCACACGUUCAUUGUAAGUAUGCAUGAUGCUGUUUCCUUCCCUUUGAUCGACCUCUCUAGCGACAAUCACAUAUAUAACAACCCUUCAUGCGCCAUUAUCCACGCACUUAUGCUUGAUUUCCUUGAUCGUGUACACAUGUAGGUGAAUCAGACGAAGAUGACGCGCCUGUGCAAGGCGACACAGGUCACCGUGGUGAACGGGCAGCUCCCAGGGCCAACCAUUGAGAUCACAGAAGGAGACACGGUGACUGUUCAUGUCAUCAACAGGUCACCUUACAACAUGACAAUCCACUGGUAAGCUACGAUGGCAUACCAAUAAGUUCAUCCAUUUCAGAGGAUAAAGCUAUAUAUGGCACUGCUUAUAAGAAACGGCUAAGGUGGACCGUGCAUUUUGACGUCUAGAUUUUUUGUACGAUUGUCACCCGUUUUUCAAAAACAUGGCUUCAAUUCUAGGAGUAUAUGUUAGACAAGAAAUCAAAAUAUUUGAUGAUAAUUACACGAUGAAAUUAUAAAAUAUAUGAAGUGCAUCAAGGAUAAAGCUGCGAAGGAUCACGUUUACUUCGUAGUAAGAUAUUUAAAAUUUAUGAGCACUUAUAAUUAUUCAGAUUGUAAAACGUUUUUUAAACAAAAUUGCAGCACUCCACACCUUUAUAGUUGACAACCUUUUGUGAUGUAUACGACAGAUAAAAUAGAGGAUAGUCUGGAGGAGUGAGCAUUCGGGUUACUCGACAUGUUCGGGUCGGGUAAUUUGAGGUUUCAAAAGUUCGGAUUGCUCAAAUCGCUACCCAAGAUGUACCAUGGGAGAACAGUACCUGAAGUUUCAGUACCCGAAAUGUCGGGUUCGGGUGUCAAGAAAAUUUGAGAGAGGAACGAGAACAAGAACCCGAUGAACAAGAACAAAUCCAAGAGAAAGGAAAAUUUGAGAAGAAAAAUUAGGAGAACAGGUAACGAAACUUAGCAGCGUGUCAAAAAAAUUUAUUGUCGGUCCUCGCUUUGCAUCCACAUCAGGUUCCAAAAAGGAAAAGCAAUAACCAACCAAUAGCACACGCAUCUCGAUUCCCUCGAAUCCUCUAUAAGGUUCCAGCAUCAUCGAUUCCCUGGAGUAGGACGUAGCAUUAGCAGGGAUGUCACCUGCUAGUGAACCAAGAUCAGGGAGAUGGGACCUCGACGGCGCCGCGCUUUCCUCCACCAGCGCUGCGCCGGUCUCUUCCUGCCGCGCGCUCGCACACGCCGGCCGCCGGCACGGUCGUGCCAGGUUUGGAAUAUACUACUAGAAUAUGAGCAUUCGUAGUUGAUUUUUGUACCGGAUGGUAUUUCGCCGGUAAUAACGUGUGAAAUUGGUGCUGGAUACAAAUUUUCGAUCCUCGGAGAUAUUUUAGUACCAGGCAAUAACACUAACCGGUACUAAAUGUGGUGUUAUUGCCCGGUAGUCUAGAUCAUUUAGUACUGGACAAUAACACCAGUACCCCGUGGAGUACCAUUUAGUACCGGUUAAUAACACCAACAGGUACUAAAUGUCUUGGUAUUAUUGACGGGUACUAAAAGCGGUGCAGGUUCCAUGGGAAAUGAUGAAGGUGGAUCUUGCAGCAAGAUUUCUUGCUCUGAUAGAUUUUUAACAUUCCACUCUAAAAUCUGCUUACAACCCAACUCCUCACGUGGAACGGAGGUGCUAUAUUUUAAUGAUAAGGAUUAUAAGAUGAUCCUCCUCACCUCUCCAAACUUACAAUGUGGUAAACCCACCACACUACAACCACAAUUAAACCACAUGAACCAACAACUACAGUACUAGAAGAUAUUGGGCUGGGGUAGAGUUUUUAUCUUUUCUGAUAACACAAAAGUAUUUGUGGUUUGUGAUGCAGGCAUGGAGUGAAGCAGUUUCGUAACUGCUGGGCUGAUGGGGUGCCAAUGCUCACCCAAUGCCCUAUCCUGCCGAACAAAAAUUUCACCUACCAGUUCAAUGUCGUUGGGCAGGAAGGCACCCUGUGGUGGCAUGCUCACGUCCCCGGACUACGGGCAACUGUCCAUGGCGCAUUCAUUAUUCGGCCAAGGCAUGGAGCUGAGUCAUAUCCAUUUCCUCAGCCUCAUAAGGAGAUCCCAGUUAUUAUAGGUUUGUGAACCUUUCAGAUUUUUAUUGUUUAGGAUAUGAGAACCUUAACUUCGUGCAAAUUUAAUUGGUCCUCAUUUUGAGAAAAUAAAAUAUGUCAUGUCCUAUGGGAUUUAAAUUGUGCGCAAUUUUGCAAUGGUUUUGCAAGUAUCUAGUAGAUGUGAAAUGAUCCUGAUGAUUACAGGGGACUGGUGGGAGAAGGACCUUGCAGAGAUGGCCAGGAAUAUGACGAAGAGCAUCUUUCUGUCUUAUGCUAGUGCAUCCACAAUCAAUGGCUUGGUCGGAGAUCUCUUCAAUUGCUCAGGUAAGCAAUUAUACGAUUCUAAACAGCCAUUUAGCACAAUUAAACUCUAUUUAAUUACUGCACAGUAGCCAGCUGAUUAAAUUCUCAGUCUUAAUGGUCUUGAGUUUUAGCCCGUACAAAUGGCCGUUUAGCAUAAUUAAACAGCCAUUUUGGUGAAAACUGUAUACAAUUGUGCGUUUGGUGAAAACUAUAUUGGAUAUUUGUCCAUGUCGAAACCGAUAUACACUACGGGAAAGCUAAAAAUUGCCGAGUGUAUUUUUUUUGCCGAGUGUUUUUUUUCGAGCACUCGGCAAACAAGCUCUUUGCCGAGUGCCAAGCCAAAAACACUCGGCAAAGAAAAAACACUCGGCAAAUCGGGGCUUUGCCGAGUGUCAAAUAAAAAACACUUGGCAAACCAUCCUCUUUGCCGAGUGUCAAAAAAAACACUCGGCAAAGAGGGGGCUUUGCCGAGUGUCACAAAAGACACUCGGCAAAGAGGGGGGUUUGCCGAGUGUUUUUUUUGACACUUGGCAAAAAAAUAAAUUUUUUUUCCUCUUUUCACCUUGAAAUUUUUUCUACUCCCCACAUACAACAUGUGGUACUCCAUGUUAAAGUUUGGUAUAUUUUUGAAUUUAUUUGCUAUAUUUAUUUAAUUAAUUGCAUUUCAAGGGAUAUUUUGGUAUAAGUCAAAUUUGAACCGCAAGUGAUUCAAAUUAUGGAACAAAAUGAGUAUAAAAAUGAUAUUCAUGUUAUUUGGCCCAAUUUGAGACCUGACCCAUGAAAUGAAAAGAAAUUUCGAACAUCUUGUUCAGGAAACACGACCAUGAACGUGUGGUAGUAGUAUUUUUAAAUUGUAAAAAAAACAAGCAAAGUCUGAAAAUCAUGAGAUUUGUCAUGAUGUGAUGAUAUAAUACGUGGAGGCUGUGGAAAAAAAUGAGAAACUUUUGCAUAUUUCAUCAUGUACGAUGAUUACAAACCGAAACAUCUCAGAAGAAGAAUAGUAACUUUGAGAAGGAUUCGAUAAAAUUUAGAGUCGAAGUGACGGUCGAGUUCGGUUUGACUACAAAACUUUUUAUAUAGUCAGUAGAGAACAUAUAUUGUUUCGUGUGAAAAUUUGGUAUUUUUUUGAAACUAUUAAAUAAUUUUUAACUUUUUUAAAAAAAAAA
RNAcentral lists this long non-coding RNA (46785 nucleotides) under Setaria italica (foxtail millet). Its description in RNAcentral is "long non-coding RNA (SITA_LNC006225)". Lineage: Eukaryota; Viridiplantae; Streptophyta; Magnoliopsida; Poales; Poaceae. The record is from RNAcentral.